CCUAACUUCCCUGCAGACGCUUACAUACUUUGUAGCAGGUGCCGACGACUCCGGUUGCAGUAAUUUGGGAGAGCUGCAGAAUUUGGACCUUGGUGGUACACUGGAGCUUAGGAAGCUAGAAAAUGUGACAGGAGCAGAUGCACAAGCAGCAGGUCUUGGAAACAAGAAAAAACUGACCGAACUGGAGUUAUGUUGGACCAAUAGUGACCAGGAAGCACAGAAUAAUAAUCAUAAAGAGGUGGUGGAAGGUCUCAAACCUCAUGAUGGGUUGAAGGCUCUGAGGAUAACUCACUGUGGGAGCAGAACUUUUCCAUGGAUGAAUACUUUGAAAGGCAUGGUGGAGCUCAAAUUAUCUCUUUGCAAAAAGCUCGAAGAGCUUCCUGCACUCUGGGAGCUACCACCUCUGCAAAUUCUUCACCUGCAGGGUUUGGAGAGUUUAGAUUGUUUGUGCAGCGGUGGUACUACACCCGUCACAUUUCCAAAACUGAAGGUGAUUGCCUUGUUAGAAAUGGCAAAAUUUGAGGCAUGGUGGGAGACAUAUGAGGUACAAGGAGAAGAUCCAGUAUUUCCUGAGGUUGAGGAGCUGGUGAUUAAGAAGUGUAAAAGUUUGACUGCAUUACCAAAAGCAGCAUCGGUGAUUACAGAAUUGUCUGGCAGAGUUGACACUAAGUGCCGCUCUGCAUUUCCAGUAUUGAGGAAAAUGACCCUAGGUGAGUUGACUAUGUUUGAAAGAUGGGAGGCAGGCGAAGGAAUUUCAGGCGAAGAGGUAACCUUUCCUCAGCUUGAGGAGCUGUCAAUCGAGUAUUGUGGCAGCCUGAGUGCACUACCAAAAGGACCAUUAUUGGCUAAGCAACCAUUUGGCGGAGCUGAAACUGUGUGCUGCCGCUCUGCAUUUCCAGCACUGAGGAAACUAGAAUUAUCUCAUUUGUCAGCCCUUGAGAGGUGGGGGGCAGCCGAAGGAACUCCAGGAGAAGAGGUAACCUUUCCUCAGCUCGAGGAGCUGUCAAUCUCGUAUUGUGGCAGCCUGAGUGCACUACCAAAAGGGUCAUUAUUGGCUAAGCAACCAUUUGGCGGAGCUAAAACUGUAUGUUGCCGCUCUGCAUUUCCAGCACUGAGAAAACUAAUAUUAUUUGAUUUGUCGGUCCUUGAGAGGUGGGGGGCAGCCGAAGGAACUCCAGGAGAAGAGGUAACCUUUCCUCAGCUCGAGGAGCUAUCAAUCACGGAGUGUGGCAGCCUGUGUGCACUACCGAAAGGGCCAUUAUUGGCUAAGCAACCAUUUGGCGGAGCUGAAACUGUGUGCUGCUGCUCUGCAUUUCCAGCACUAAGAAAACUAGAGUUAUCUCAUUUGUCAGCUCUUGAGAGGUGGGGGGCAGCCGAAGGAACUCCAGGAGAAGAGGUAAUCUUUCCUCAGCUCGAGGAGCUGUCAAUCACGGAGUGUGGCAGCCUGUGUGCACUACCGAAAGGGCCAUUAUUGGCUAAGCAACCAUUUGGCGGAGCUGAAACUGUGUGCUGCCGCUCUGCAUUUCCAGCACUGAGGAAACUAGAAUUAUCUCAUUUGUCAGCCCUUGAGAGGUGGGGGGCAGCCGAAGGAACUCCAGGAGAAGAGGUAACCUUUCCUCAGCUCGAGGAGCUAUCAAUCACGGAGUGUGGCAGCCUGUGUGCACUACCGAAAGGGCCAUUAUUGGCUAAGCAACCAUUUGACGGAGCUGAAACUGUGUGCUGCCGCUCUGCAUUUCCAGCACUGAGGAAACUAAAAUUAUCUCGUUUGUCGGUCCUUGAGAGGUGGGGGGCAGCCGAAGGAACUCCAGGAGAAGAGGUAACCUUUCCUCAGCUCGAGCGGCUGUCAAUCUCGUAUUGUGGCAGCCUGAGUGCACUACCAAAAGGGCCAUUAUUGGCUAAGCAACCAUUUGGCGGAGCUAAAACUGUAUGUUGCCGCUCUGCAUUUCCAGCACUGAGAAAACUAAUAUUAUUUGAUUUGUCGGUCCUUGAGAGGUGGGGGGCAGCUGAAGGAACUCCAGGAGAAGAGGUAACAUUUCCUCUGCUGGAGGAUUUGAAUAUUGAUUUCUGCCCGAAGUUGACUGAUCUACCUGAAGCACCGAAGCUAAGUGAAUUAUCCAUAAGAAGAAAAGGUGAUGAUCAGCAGCAAAUAUCCCUAGAGACAGCUAGCAGAUGCAUCCCUUCAUUGUACCGUCUGAAUCUGGAUGUGUCACCCGAUGAAACAGAAACAACAUUGCUGCAUGUCAAGAAUAAAUUGAAUGGUACACUCGCCUUGGCAGCUAUGGGGUUAGGUCGGUGCGACCUUUUUUUCUCCUCCCGCUCAAGCGCACUGGCGCUAUGGACAUGUUUUGCACAGCUAGUAUAUUUGAGGAUUUGGGAUUGCGAUGCUCUUGUCUACUGGCCAGAAAACGUGUUCGAGGUCCUGGUAUGCCUGAGGAACUUAGAUAUUUCCGUAUGCAGAAAUCUGACAGGACGCACACAAGCUUCUGAUGAGCAAUCUGCUCCAGCACCAGAACGUGGUGGACUCCUGCCAUGCCUGGAGUCUCUACAGAUAGUAGAAUGUAAAUCUUUGGUAGAGGUCCCCAUCCUGCCGGCAUCUCUCAAGGAAUUACAUAUUCACAGCUGCAGUGAUGAAAUCGAGUCCAUCGUAUUCUGUCAGCAGGAGGAUACGAGGUUGGUGAGUGGAGAGGGUAUUGUGCGGCCGAAGACGUCAUCAUUAAUUCCAGGGUGCAACAGCAGCUGUGAGGCCACAGCGUCUACAGCUGUACUGAAGCUGUCAUUUGCAGCCAACCAUCGCUUCCUUCCAUUUCCAUGCCUAGAAUUUCUAGCUAUAAUGCAUUGCAGUGGCUUGUCAGAGGUUGCCAAUCUUCCUCCGUCUAUCAAGGCCUUGAACAUUUCUUUAUGCGGCGAGCUUCAAUCCCUAUCAGGAGACCUCCGGUUGCUGGAAGAACUCUUGUUUUAUGGAUGCGAAAGACUGGUAUCCUUACCGGAUGGGCCUCAAGCAUACUCAUCUCUUAGAGUUCUUCGGAUAAUGAAUUGUGAAGGUAUAAAGUUGCUUCCGUCAAGCCUACAGAGCCGUUUGGGCUACCUCGAGGAGAAAUAUCUAGAUGCCCGUUACGAAGGUAAUCUCCAGUUUCUUUAUUUCUUUUAACAAAAUGGUCAAGAGCUCAAUUGGUGUUACCUAUAAUGCAACUCUGUGCUUAAACAUUCUGUUAGCUAUUACAAGAUGUGGUAGGAUUUAGUGGUAAGAAGUUUAUGAGUAUUACUCUGCGUUAAACAUUCUGUUAGCUAUCUAGCCAAGCCGUUCAUGAUGUAUACAUUAUAUUGACUAUUGAGUACAAUGCACCACUAAUAUUUAUGUGCAUGUGUGUCAUCGAAAUACAUUAACUUCGUGUAUUAUUGCCAUUCGGGUAUCUAAACACGUACAACCAGAUCAAGAACCGCAGUCAUCCUUGUAUAUCUCCUUUUUGUUCGUACAAAGAAUUUAUAGCUAUAAGAUGAUCUUUGUUGUUCACUUUUGAUACCUUGGUUGUAAACUUGUAAUUGCUAACUCGAAUCAUGUAAUAAAAUCAAUCAUCUUCCUUUAGUUGUAUUUAAAGCAGCAUGGCAUCAUGGAAUUAUUGCAGCCGAAUUCACUAGCUUCAAUUAAAGUGGCACUUGUCCUAGCGUUCCUCUGGAAAUUCAUGAUCACUAGCUCCGUUGUAUGCAGUUCAAGUAUGUGUAGUUUUCUUUUCAUGGCUUAUGCCUUUUGACAUAAAUAAUAAUUUUCCUUUGAAACAUUUACUAUUGGGUGCCACAGCAUAUUCUCCUGUGUAUAUAUAUACUUUCUAACUUUGUGUUGAUUUGCAUGCAUAAAUUCUAACAUCAUGGCCUGAUUGCCAGAAUUGCCAGAACCAACCUGGAAACGUUCAAUCAGGAAGCUGGUGUGCUCGAAAUAGUAGAUCAAGGCCUGACCAAAGAAAAUUAUCUCCAAGGUAUUUUUGCAAAGAUAUCACCAAGGUUUGUAAUAUUAGUGUUCUUGAUGAUUGAUUGGAAAUGAUGCUAGCUCCUAAUGCUGACUUCCUAUGCGCUGUGACUUCCUUGUAGGAUGGUGCCAGACCUGCAAAAGAUGGAUUACUGUGACUCUUGUUUAGAAUGUAUCAUAUGCGCAUUCUGAAGAUAUUCUCCAGUAAAGUCAAGGCAAAGUCCUAGAUUUGAGCAGAAAACAAAUCCUAGAUUGCAAGCUGAAGAAUUUAGCACACAGAGCUGCGUGCUCCAGUCUUUUAUCCGUCUUCAAACUGAAGACCUUUAUUUUGAGCAGAAACGAAGUCCCAGACUGCAAGCAGAAGAAUUUAGCAUACAGAGCUACGGGCUCCAGUCUUUUAUCCUUAUUUUUUCUUUUGAACUAUGACAUGUUUGCAUUCGUGUCUGCUUCAGCCUCCAGCACAAGCGAAACACAGGCAGAGGAUACUUGCCAUAGAGUAGACCAACAGUCCAACGUACUCAUGUUGUUGCUCGACAAGCUGUCCAAGCUGCUGCUUGAUAUGAACUGAAAGUUCUGAAUUUUCUCUCGUGUAUGUUCUGUGUAUCAAAUACUGAAUGGUGUGCAGGGUGAUCCUGCAUCCUGGAAGGCUUUGGAUGGCACGGUCUUGUGCAGAGAUCUCAUUGUUGUUGACCUGUUUCUUCAAAACUGCAUGUGCAUGAGCAAGAAUGGUGAUUGUUAUAGUACAUGAGCAAGGAAGAAGCUCUGGAUGCAGGGGAUGGAACAGAACAGAGACACGGACUCUGUCAACAGCGAUGCUCCCAAGCGAGCAGAGGCAGAGCAGCGAAGUUGCCACACGCCACCGCAUCUCCCUCCACUCCACUCCCACUCCCCCGCCACCGCCAUGGCCGCCGCCGCCGCAGCGCACUCCCUCCUGCACCCACCGGCGGCCCGCAAGGCCCCCACACCUUCUCCCUCUCCUUACCCUUCCCCAUUCCUCCGCCUCCCGGCCCCCGCGCACCCGCGCCUCCCGCUCCGCCUCCGCUCCACCUCCCCGGCCGCCGCCUCCUACCUCACCGACUUCCCCAACCCGAACGGCAUCCUCGCGCCCAUCGACGUGGACGCCGCCACGGAGGCGGAGCUUCGCGAGAACGGGUUCCGGAGCACGCGCCGCACCAAGCUCGUCUGCACCGUGGGCCCGGUCACCUCGUCGCCCGAGCAGCUCGAGGCGCUCGCCGUCGGCGGGAUGAACGUCGCCCGCCUAAACAUGUGCCACCGCCGCCGCCAUACCCCCUGUCACCCCUGCGUCGACCACUGCGCCAAACAAGUCAAGCUUCGCUGCCUUCGCCCCUGCGCCACCACGCUUCGACGAGCUAAGAACGAUGGUGCGUGCACAGGUCGAAGCCCUCUUCAAUGCUCAGGCCAUGGCGCUUCAGCACACAUUCCAGGCCAUGGCUGAUUCUCAGGUACGCUCAACCCAUUUGCUUAGCCCGGAUUCCUCUGUGCAACCUUCACCCCGCAAGGAUCUUGGAGCUUGCGGCGUCGACGAGUUUUUCACCAGGUCCUGCUCUCUGCUGGACGGACUGGAUGCUCCGCCGUGCCCGGCGGGGAAUCAAGCCUGGUCCGACACCCCGGUGCGCUUGGUGCCUCUGCACCGGGUCUUUGACAGGCUAGGGUCGGCUCUUCAAGGGCGCCCCUCGGUGCGGGAGGUCGAGCUCGCCCUGAACCAGCUGCAGCUUCCCGCUAACACUCCGGCUUCCGAUGACCUUCGCGCCGCCGCGUCCAAGUCUUCUCCGGCCGCCGGAUCUGCCCCAACGGAGCUGCUGAACCAGAGGCAGGGUGCUCCAGAGAAGACUGCCCAAUGGGCCAACUGCCAGGCCCCACGGACCAGCUGGGCCCUGGGACCUCCUGCGGCGGCGACCGCGCCGGGCGUUCACGGGGGGCCUCGGGUGAAGGCGGCCCCAUGGGCCGUUUCCCUGGGGCCUGCUCCUGUCUGGCCCAGCAACGGGGCUCCCGCUGGACCACCUGGGCCUGUGCGUACCGCGCCAGUCCUCACCACUGGGCCGGAGACGCCAGUGGGGAGCCCGGGGGCCGGCGCGCAGACAACCUCCAAUGGGCCCGCUGGAAACAACUUAGGCCGCAGCACUGAGUCUCACCUUUCCGUUUCCCAAACUCAUGACAUGCAGGUUGCCACUGUUGAAGCCAUGGAGGCCCAGCUGACUACUCAAAGUACUGUGGAGGAAACACACACUGUGACUGCAAGUGGGGCCGUUGAUGAUCUCUUCGCGGCCCCGGCUUCGCCGAUUCUACGCCAGCCCCCGCCACGUCGCCAAUGUCGACGCUUUGAUAUGACCGCGGUCCGACGGAGUGCAAGACUCGCCCUCAAGCCGUCGGUUCCCGCGCUGCAGCGUGCCCAGCACAACCUCUGGCGCAAGCUAGGGGUCUCCGACGACGAGCUACGCCCAAUAGAAGAUAUCCUACAGGACUACGUCAACUCUCACCAGUGGCCACUUCCAGAUCAUGUCAUCGCUGCGAUGACGGCACUAUUUGACCUGGACGAUGAGGGAGCGGAGCAGGUAACUGAAGCUUUGAUCCAGCAUGCAGGACAGGCGGUCCAAGACAUCCAGAACGAGCUCGCCACCCGUCAGGAAUGAGUCAUCAGGACUCCACUUGUUUUUGGAGACUUGUUAUCUCCAUGUAUCAGUACUCCCUACCGUACACCUUUUCUUUUAGCUACCCUAGCCCUGCUGGCUGCGACCUUCGGGCUAGGAGCUGCACUAAACUUCACGACUCGACCUCCUGGUCUUCUCGCGCGCGACUUCGCCCUGCUGGCUUCGACCUUUGGGCAAUCCAUAUGCACGAUCUGCACGAUCAGCGACCCUCCAGCACAUCUGUUGAUAGCGCCUGUCCCACCAAGAAUCGUCAUCUUAAGUGCGUCGACGUGCUCGCAUAUACCCUGAUCGGGGCCACCUUCACACACCAGCACUACGGAUAGUGUGCUACCAUCCCCUGUGCGAUAGAUCUUCCAAAUGCUCACAUCCAACUUCGACACCCUUAGUUGGAAUGUCCGCGGCCUCAAUGCCCCUGCGAGAUGCAUGCUUGUUCACGACACUCUAAAAGACACGCCUUGUCAAAUUGCGUGCCUUCAGGAAACCAAAUUAAGCCAGAUCGACGCUUCUCUGGCUGCCUUUUUAGGGGGUUAUCGACUGUCAAGCUUCGCUUUCAAACCGGCGCAAGGCACUAAGGGAGGAAUACUCAUCCUUUGGGAUUCUAACUUCAUCGAUCUGACGGAUAUCCAAAUUGGGAGCUACUCGCUUUCAGCAACAGUUUCACCGAAAAACUACGACACCGACUUCCGCCUUACGACAGUCUACGGCCCUUCCAGGACGAACCUAAAGCCAGCUUUCAUGCAGCAUAUGCGCAGUAUGAAGCCUGACAACGAUACCAAAUGGCUUAUUCUUGGCGAUUUCAACCUCAUAUACAAGACACAAGACAAAAACAAUAGACGCUUGAACCUCAGCCAAAUGCGCCGUUUCCGCAACACCCUCGCUUCUUGUGGUCUCAAGGAAAUUCACCUACAGAACCGCAAAUACACGUGGAGCAACGAACGCCGCCAGCCUACGAUGUCACGCCUCGACCGCUUCUUCUGUAAUGAAGCCUGGGAUCUCGCUUUCGAUGACCUGACCCUCCACGCCUUGUCCUCCUCCCACUCUGACCACUGCCCUCUGUUACUAGCACGUUUAUCCGGCCCACGCCAACCGCGGCCGUUUAAAUUUGAGAACUUCUGGACAAAGCUGCCCCACUUUCAAGACAUUGUAAAGCGAGCUUGGUGUUCACCAACACAUCAUACUGAGCCUUUCCACCGCCUAGGGCACAAAUUACAUCUAACGGCACGGGAGCUACGGAAAUGGAGCAACUCCAUAAUCUCGGACGCGAGACUGAAGCUACAGAUGGCCCAAGUGGUGAUCCUCCACCUCGAUUCGGCACAAGACGUCCGACCGCUUUCGGAGGCGGAAUUUGAUCUACGAGCUAAACUCAAAAAACGUGUCCUAGGCUGGGCCGUGAUUGAACGUGCUCGAAGGCGACAGGCAUCGCGCGUUAAAAACCUCCGAGAGGGCGAUGCCAACACGCGCUACUUCCACCUAAAGGCCAACGGGCGACGACGGAAAAAUUACAUCCAAAGACUGCGAUCCGAUUCUGGAUGGGCACUUACGCAUCAAGACAAACAAAAAGUCAUCCACGACCACUUCUGCAAUUUCAUGGCAGCACCGCAGCAACGUUCGCGGGAUCUACGGUGGGAAAUUUUGCCCAACUCCCAGGAAGACCUUUCGGACCUCGACCGGCCCUUUGACGAACUAGAAAUCUUCCACGCCAUCAAACAGCUUCCGCAUGAUCGGGCACCUGGCCCUGACGGAUUCACUGGUCUAUUUUUCAAGACAUGCUGGAACAUCAUUAAAGGUGACAUGAUGGCAGCGAUCGACGCCUUCUACAACAUCCGAUGCAACGACCUUAACCUGCUUAAUAAGGCUAACAUCGUCCUUAUACCCAAAAAGGAAGGUGCGGAGGCCAUCCAGGAUUUUCGACCAAUUAGCCUUAUCCAUGCGGUUGCAAAAAUUAUCACUAAAGUCCUGGCACUCCGUCUACGACCUCAUAUGAACGCCAUCAUCUCACCCUGCCAGAGCGCAUUCAUCAAGGGCCGUAGUAUCCACGACAACUUCCUCUAUGUCCGAAACACUGCCCGACGUUUACAUCAAAAAGCAGCACCGGCCCUGUUCAUGAAACUCGAUAUCUCAAAAGCCUUCGAUUCAGUACGAUGGGACUACCUCCUUGAACUACUUCAACAUAAAGGCUUCCCUGUUCGCUGGAACCAAUGGAUCACGGCCCUUCUUGCCACCUCGACAUCAAAAGUACUACUGAAUGGGGCGCCUUUGCCGCCGAUUCAUCACGGACGAGGUCUUCGACAGGGCGACCCUCUUUCUCCCCUCCUCUUUGUUCUAGCUAUCGACCCACUACAACACAUCAUCUCUCAAGCCACCCAGAGGGGUCUCCUUACUAAGCUAGGAGGACGCGCAGCACGGUUCACAACAUCCCUGUACGCUGAUGAUGCGGCGAUUUUCAUUAAGCCAACACGAAAAGACAUAACCAACUUGACGAACAUCCUGCAGCAAUUUGGCGAAGCCACAUGCCUACGUACAAACCUGCACAAAACACAGAUUGCACCCAUCAGUUGCAAUACCGUCGAUUUGGAUCACUUACUUCGCGAUAUGCCGGCAACAAGAACAACAUUCCCAAUACGCUAUCUGGGUAUCCCACUCACGACAAGGCGCCUAAGGAAAAUUGACUUCCAACCCCUCGUUGAUAAACUGGCCGGCAAGCUAUCAGCAUGGACGGGUCGUCAGCUAACCCAAGCUGGCAGAAUAACCCUCACAAAAUCGGUCCUCUCGGCACAACCGGUAUAUUUUCUCACAGCUAUCAAACCGAGUAAAGAGGUGCUCCAGGAUAUCGACAAAAUCCGGAAAAAAUUCCUAUGGGCAGGGGACCAGCAACUUACUGGAGGCAAAUGCAAAGUUAACUGGACGAAAACCUGCCUCCCUAAACAACAAGGGGGCCUGGGUAUCCCGGACCUUGAGACAUUCGCUCGAGCCCUCCGUCUCAGGUGGCUCUGGCACGAAUGGGUAUCCCCGGAAAAACCCUGGAACAACACGGGAACCCCUUGCGACGAAGCUGACAGGAAGUUGUUCGCGGCAUGCACCUCCAUCACUCUGGGAGACGGCAAGAAAACUAGCUUCUGGUCAUCCGGAUGGUUGCAGGGCCAACGCCCUAAGGACAUCGCCCCGCUCCUUUACGCCAUUUCGCGCCGAAAGAAUAGGAGCGUCCAUGAUGCUCUCAGUCGAAAUAACUGGUUACGCGACCUUGUGAUCGACCAUAACAUCACCGUUUCUCACCUAGCGUCGAUUGCACAGUUGUGGGAAAUGGUCAAUACUACGGAACUCAGAUCAGGGGAGGACGACACUAUCACCUGGAAGCUGACAAGCUCAGGACUAUAUACUACGGCCUCGGCAUAUAAAGCACAAUUCCUGGGUUGCACCGAAACACCACACGUUUCCUCCAUAUGGAAAUCUUGGGCACCACCAAAAUGCAAAUUCUUCGCGUGGUUAAUUACGCAGAACCGAAUCUGGUCCGCUGAUCGCCUAGCCAAGCGAGGCUGGCCGCACAACACUUCCUGCGUCCUAUGUCGUUCCGCUAUGGAGACUGGACACCACCUUUUAGCUGAGUGCCGAUACACACGGAGAAUCUGGAACCAAACGGCGACAUGGCUAGCGCAGCCUGCACUACGACCAAAUGAAUGGAGACCUUCAGCCAAUGCUAUCGAGUGGUGGACGGCUAUCACCACAACACCGGACUCGCCACGUAAAGCUCUACGCAGCCUCACCCUUUUAAUCAUGUGGGAAAUUUGGAAGGAAAGGAAUGCACGUACUUUCAAUCGGCAUGAAACAUCACCGUCAACCCUAAUGACGAAGAUCAAAGACGAGGCCUCCGCUUGGCUCUUGGCAGGGGCCAAAGACCUAGCGACUUUACUAUCUCGCGAGUAAUCACGUUUCGGCCUCUAGUGUUUUUUCUUCUUUUUUCCUUCCUUUUCGCUUUUCUAUCCCGAUCUGUCGGGACUCCAUCUGUUUUUUCCUACUAUAUCAAUGAAAUAGGCACCGUCUCGUGCCCGUUCGUUCAAAAAAAAAAACAUGUGCCACGGGGACCGGGAGGCGGGAGUGGCACCGGGGCGCCAUCCGGGCAGUCAGGAGGCUCAACGAGGAGAAGGGCUACGCCGUCGCCGUCAUGAUGGACACCGAGGGCAGCGAGAUCCACAUGGGGGACCUCGGCGGCGCCUCAUCGGCCAAGGCGGAGGUGAGGUGCUGUGCUUGUAUGUAAGCUGCUGUCCAGUUUUGGACUUGGCGUUGCAGUUUUCAGUUUUCAGAUUGAACGUAUUCCGUGAAAUGUGCUUGUGCAAUGUGGCAAUGUGGAUGAGAGGAACGGGUGGUGGCAGUGGCAGUGUCAGGCAUUGCCGUUUCAUACUUCUGCAAAACCUAGCGAGUCAGGAUUUCACCAAAAUGUUUUUUUUUCCAUCUUCGAAAUGGCUCAGUUGAUUUAGAUUUUCAGCUCAUGUUUGAAAUUGUUAUAGAAGGAAAAACAUUCAGAAUUUCAGAUUGUCAUCAAACACUGGAUUGUGAAAGUGGUAAUCAUUUUCAAGGCUUUCAAUCUUUCAAAAAAAAUUCAAGGCUUUCAGUAUCAGUGCAACUCAAAUAAAGUGCAUGGUAAACAUCACCAUGUUUUGGCUUUCUCUGCAUAUAAGACACGGUGCUGGAGUCGUUCGACCGCGCUGAGGUCCCAAUCCAACCGGUCAGGUUUUUUCAAGGUGUCGAGUUUGAGUGCUUACAUGCGUUGGCCCCAUUCCAACCGGGCGAGUCUUUAUUUUAUUUUCGUUUCUUUUCCUUUUUUUUGCCCAUGGCCUCCCAGGGCCGUAGUCUUGUAUUUUCUAUUAUAUCAAUAGAAACUCGCACUAUCUUGUGCGGUUCGUUCAAAAAAAAAAGUGAUAGGCAUUGAGCUUCUGAAGGUCGUUGUCUAGAUAUUAGGCCCAAGCCUCAAUGGCUUUUUUUCCCUGUUGCAAACCUUCCUGUAAGUAAAGGGCACACCCAGUGCGAAAGCUCCCACACAAGGUGGGGUUUGGGGAAGGGAAUUCCUAGAUAGCCUUACCCUUGCAAAAUUCUUUUAAAUUUUUGCAAAGAGGUUGGUUCGAACCCAGGACCUCCGGGCCACAAGUGGAGAGUUUUACCACUGCGCCAGGUCCGCCCUUCCAGCAGAAUCUCUUAUGCUAGGUUUAAUUUGAAUUAGCUUUAUUAGUAGAAUGCUUGGCCCAUUUAUUGGUAAAUGGUAAAAUUCAUAAAGAUUAUCCUCAUUCCCUUAAUCAAUUUUAGGUGUUUAACUUGCAGCAAAUUCGAACAAUGACAGACAUGCAGCAUAUUGUUAGUUCAUCUGUAAGACUUGGCUUGCUGGUUUAAUGCUUUGUUAAAGGUUUGAAGUUAAUGUGUCUACUGGUAGCUAUUGAAUCUCUUUAUAGUUUAUUUAUAUCUUUUUUCUUUAUUAGUAUAAAGCCAUGUAGAAGUUUUCAGAAUACUGAAAUUUCUAGUGUUCGUUUUGUGGAGUCUCUGCACCUACAUCCUUUUUUGCAACUGCAUUUCAGAUCCUUCAGUUAUAGCAUGAAUAAUUUUUUAAAAAAGAAAAUUCUAGGUAGAUUCUUGCCCGUAGUUAAUGGUAGUGUCCGAUGAUAGUUGUGUUUUAGAUAAUACAUUAAUAUUAGUAAUCCAAAGAAACUAAACUACUUCCAUGAUGCUAACUGUCAUCAGUGCUAGCUAGGGUCACUAUACCAAAAAGGAGAUUCUAUCACCAUUCGGCUGUUUAUCUUAAGUUUUUAACCAUACAGUUAGAAGUUUGAUUGUACACCUAUUCAAUAAUCCAAGGUUUUCUUGAGCCACGUUAUUUACCCAAUGACUUCCAUUUUUCUUGGUAUUAAAACCUUUCUGAAGUAAUUAACAAAUCAUGUCACAUUUGUUGGAUUCCACAGGAUGGAGAAGUCUGGACAUUUAGUGUUAGGUCAUUUGAAUUGCCUCUCCCAGAACGAACUAUUAAUGUGAAUUAUGACGGGUUUGCUGAAGGUAUGUAAGCUGACCUAUUUGUUGAUAUCUUUUUCUGUUAUUGUUCACUGCCAUAAUUUUGUCCUACACAGAUGUGAGAGUUGGUGAUGAGCUUCUUGUGGAUGGUGGAAUGGCUCGGUUUGAGGUGAUUGAGAAGUUGGGACCAGAUGUUAAGUGUCGCUGCACAGAUCCUGGUUUAUUGUUGCCACGUGUGAAUCUUACAUUCUGGCGUGAUGGCAGUAUUGUCCGUGAGAGGAAUGCUAUGCUUCCUACAAUUUCAUCAAAGGUAAAUGCACUAGCAUAAUAAAUUUCUUGCUGUAAUUACCAAAAGACCGCAAAACUUUGUUAAUCUAUGCCACCCCUUGGUACUAGUAUUGCAAUGGAUUUACAGCUUGUUUUUUGUUUUGUCAAUGCCAUGGUCAGUUCAAAACAACAUGUAUUAGUUCAAAGCCUUACAUUGUGCACUGAAACUCAUGUCUUGAUAGUUUUUAUCAGCUAUUUCUUAAGAAGGCUUCUACCACCUAGAGUUGUUUAACUGAAAAUUUAAUCUUCUAGUAGCAGAUACUAAUAUUAUAAGUUUAUAAUAAUGCUGCUCCUACCCCCGACGCAGCUUGCCGGAGGCCCUUGACGCAGCGCCGCCAUCCGCAAGCCCUAACGCCGCCGACGCGCCCCUCUCCUCGGUUGAUUUGGGAAGGCGCGGGACUGCGGCAGGGAGAUUGGGAAGCAGAGCUUCCUGUUCCUCGUCUGCUACUCUGCUUCAAUUGGGCACCGGGAAAAGCGAUGCUGCCGGGUGCUCGGGUUCUUGGAGAGGGGAUGGAAUGGAAUGAUGGAUCGAUGCGGGAUGCGUUGCUGUUGCUAGCGGCUUCUGAUUGGAGAGAGGAGAGAAGCUGGUUGCUUGUGUUACCGUGAACGUGAAGGAAAACAGAGUAGGGAGGAGAGCAAGCUGCUGGUGCAGGAGCAUCAUGGCUACGGCAAUGGCAGCGGUGCGGUUCGUUCCGUCAAAUCCCAGAUUUCGGCCACAUUUGAUUGAUGCCAUUUAAUUUGAUUCCUUAUUGGUCGCCAGCCACGCAUUCGAUUCAUGGACGCGCAGGCCCCGGUGGUGAUGCAAGCCACGGUGGUUCCUGCAUGACAAUAGGUUCUUGUUACAAGACAGUCAUCAGUCAUAUUGUGAAGAACUGAUGACAGUUUUGAACACAAAUAUAGGAUUUCAUCACGAUACACUAGAGGUUUACAAUCAUCAACUACUGCAGGGGAAAAAAAUGGAGCUAGUAUUUUUGAAAAAUGGCCCGAUGUUGAAUCUGUGAUAAUGCAACUUAUGUAGCAGAGCAACCAUGGUAACACAAAAAUGUGCCAAGAGACUGACCUGAUCUUCUUCAGCCUCUCUCCAGGUCAUCCCCGAGCUUCAUGUCAAGGGUGUUGGAAACAACCUGGGAGAACCUACCAUCCUUGUAAUCCUUCUUCAUGAUGAGGAAUCAGUCAGGGACCAUGAACUGGCGGGGGUUAGGAACCACAUUCUUGAGGCGCUCAAGCUCAUCUGGGGACACCUCACGAGCUCUGCACAAAAAUAUUAUUAUCAGAGCUGAACUUCAUGCAAUGGGGCAUUCUAGCUGUAACAUACAACAGCCUACUGGCCCAGUUUGUUAUUGUGGCACAUGGAAAAUUAGUGGGAAAGUGGUGCAAUGCACCCAUCUCAAAUCUCCACCUUCAAAAAACAUGAAUGCCAAAGACUUCUGCAUAGGCUGUCUUUACAUGGCUGAUGUUUUUUAAAACACGUUUUCCAAUGGGCUUCACUCUCAAGUAGAUUCAGAAAAGCUAAUUGAUGAUCGGCACCAAGCCACAGAUGACUGCCACUAAUGAACAGCAGUAGAUAAUUUCUGCCUUGUUGCCAAGAUAGGAAAACCAAACUGAUUGAACAUCUCGCCACAAUUUCUUAGAUUAACUGAGCCCAUCACCUACGGGAAUGGAAGGGGGGAAAAACCAAAAACUGUUACCAACAUUACAAUUUGUCAAAUAAUCUUCAUAUUCGAAUUCCCUUUACAAAAAUACCGCUUUGCCAGACCGGACCAGAAAGCAAACCAAACCUAAAUUCAGUAUAUUUAUACAUGUUGAAUCGUCUCUUGGUCAUGUUUUCUUCAUUGAAAAGAAGUAAUGAGAAGAAACAUUCUUCAAAAAUUACUGAUCAAAACCAUAUUUUCAGUGUGCUACGAUUCUACAGGGACUUCAGUACAAUGGAAACAUUGGUGCUACAACGAAAGAGCUUCUGAUAAAGUUAGGAGUGAUUUUAAUCCACUUGUCAAGUUGGAAACCAAGUGCAGUUAAAGCUACUUCACAAGGGCCUACUUACUCUUCCAAGCACAGCGAUUAAGUUGGUAGUUUAGUUGCGCCAAAAGAACACGUUACACAUAAGCCUAUAAAUCACACUACAGCUAAUCACUCACAGCGACCCUUACCGUCAGGAUCCAAAGGCCUCCACUACAAGAGCCAACGCCAAAAGCCAUUUAAAAACUCACCGUUGUUCAGGUCGAUCAGUCGAUGUCAGCCUUCUUGCAAACGAUGCUGGAGAAGCGGCGGCCGAUACCCCUUGAUGGAGGUGAGCGCGAACAUGAUCUUCCGUUUCCCUUCCACGUUGGUGUUGAGCAGACGCACACUGACGCAGGAUGUGCUGGAAGUCAUCCCCCGCGAUUAGCGACGGCAAAAUCAACCCCAGCUGCACGUCAGACGAAUUGCGCGCGAGGAUGUGAUAUCUCCACAUGGUCCGAUAAAACUAUAAACAUCAAAACCCAAAAUGAUGAAAAUUUAGCAAGAAAAUAAAGACCAGGAGCCAUGUUGAGUCGAUUGGUAAACAUAUUCACUGUGGUAAAAUGCACACUACAGAUAAAGGUCAAAUUAGUCCCUCCAUCCUAGAAUAUAGCUGCUUUAGCAAAUUUUGUUCUAGCAAAUUAGGCAGCAGCACUAGCCAACAAAGACGCAUGCACAUAUAGGCCCACAACGCGCGCCAGAGUCACCUGCUGUGUAGCGGGACAAGUUAAUAGAGGUCAAAUUAGUCUUUUAAUCUCUGUCUGACAUGAGUCCAAAACUAGCUACGUACUGUAUAUUACAAGAUGGACGGCAGAAGCACUAAGUGAAGUAGACUGGGGAACAUGGUAAAAUAGAUGAUCCCAAAGCAAUUUCUAAUAAUAAUGGACCCCCGAAGUUGAAGUUAUAAGAUAUUUAAGGAUACCACUGUUGAAGAGUAAAAGGGUGAAUCGAUACAUAUGAGGGGAAAAAAAGUUAACUACACCAAUUUUCUGGUACUAUACGACUACGAUCAUGAUAUCUUUAUCAUUUAAUGAAAAUAUAAUUACUUAAAUUUGCAGGAUAAAGUCUAUUUUCACUCACCAAAUGUAUUAGAUAAGUAAUUCUAAUUGCAUUAUGUCGAAGUUCAAUUCUAAAAAUAGAAUGAUACACACACUCUUAAAAAAAAUACAAAAUCCAAUUUUUAUAUGCUUAUUAAACAUGUACCUUAUAAAAUGCUAGGAAAAAAGAUAAAUCAUAGAAAAUAUUGCAAAAAUCAGAAAACAAGUGGACAUAAAUUCAGAGAACUUUACUAAACAUCACUAACAAUAAAAAUCAUUGCAUCUAUCCUAUUUUCUAUAAAAUUCCUUAUCUAUGCCAUGGUGAAGAUAAUCUAAAGUAACCAGUGAAUCUGAAUGUAGGUUAUUAGGCCCCUCUGCCAUCAUAAAAACUAUAAAUAACCCGUAAUCUUCAUCUAAAUGAUCUAUCUAAGUUUGCAAAUAAUGUGCCACUAUUAAAAAAAUAACUCCUAAAUUUGCAUCAAAAUUAUCUGCCUCUAUUAUUGAAAAAUACCCAACGUGCUAUUAUACGUAUGCUUCAAAAUUAUCCAAUUUAUCUUUGUUAAUAUAGAAAAACUAUGGUUUUAACUAAACAUGUCAGAAACAUAGCUCGAGUAGUGCAAAAACAAUGAACAUAUGAAAGGAAGAUAAUGUAGAGUAAUUGGUAACUAACACUAUUAGGGAAUGGAUCUUUCGUCCCGAGCCUCAGUACCAGUUGCAUUCCCACCCGGUACUAAUGUGAGCAUUAGUAACAAGCCUAACAGAUAGUCCCUGAAGAGGCCCCCAUGACCCCCUUUAGUCGGGUAGGGGCUCCACCCAGUACUAAAGGUUUCUCCCUCCGUUCGCGCGAGGACUUUUGCACCGGCGCCCUCGAAAGCCUUAAUUACCCAGCUCACCCUCCACCUCCCUUAUCCUCUUCAACCAGCUCCCUCCACCUCCCUCAGCUCCUUCUCUCCCUCCGCUCUCCACCAGCACCCUCUUCCUUCCUCCCCAGCCUCCCCUCUCCUCCCCCUUUGCUCGCCCCUCACCUCGUGCCUGACGUGAGGAGGGUAGGCGGUGAGGCGCGGCGGGGCGAGGAGCGGCGGAGGGCGAGCGGAGAGGCGGAGGCGGGGCGGCAGGCGGCGACGGCGGAGUAGGCGGAGAGGCGGAGGCGGCAGGCGGCGACAAUGGAGGAGGGCAGCAGGGGCGGCGGGAGCGGAGGAAGGCGAGCAGGCGGCGCCGCGGCGGAGAGCGAGCGGGUGGAGGAGGGCGGCGACAGGGCGAAGCAGGGCAGGCGGGCGGCGGAGCGGUGGGCAGGGCCGAGGGGAUUUUAUUAUUUUUAUUUUUUAAUACCGUUUAGUACCAGUUAUUUCAACCGGUACUAAAGGACCCCUUCUAGUAACUAAUUGUCAGUACCAGUUGGACAACCGUUAUUAGAGGGGGUUACCGACCGGUACUAAAACCACAUUCCCUAGUAGUGUAAACUCUAUCACAACCUGAUAAAGAUAUAAAAUGUAUAUAUGAGUAUUGUGUUAUAAUAUCGACAAAUGUCGGAGCAAAUACAUUGAAUUUUAAUUAGCUGUGGACGCAAAUUUAUCUAUAAUCCUUAUAAUAUUUAUAUUUCCUAAAAUUAUGUGUCCGUGCGAGAGCACGGGUUGAUGGACUAGUUAAGAUCCAAAUCGGUUUGAAAAUAUUUAUUAUUAUAUUUUACAAAUGUACCCCUAAAUUGAUCGCGAUCCAAAUCGAAGGGUGUUUUGAAAAUAAUCAUCCGUCAUGACCCAAACAGCUCCAAACAUACUGAUGUCCAACAGAAAAACAGCACCAAUUUCCAUGGAGACGCUGCAAGACUGCAAGGCCGAUCACUUGUACAGUUGUUGAGACGAUGACUGCUGGCCUAACCUCCUAGGGUCCCCUUCCAUUGUCUCCUUCGGCGUCAGCUUCUCCGACGCGACAUGGCGAGCAACGUGGACCGCACCUUGUUGCUGGUCAUGGCCAGGGGCCCGGCGACCUGGUGAUGGCGCUCGCCGACAUGCUGCAUUCCGUCCAGGUGACGAGCGUACCCGGGAGGGGCCAGUAUCUCCGUGUCAUGCGAUCACUGUCUGGGAUGCGACACGGCCUUGAUUGAUCGCCAACACCUUAUCGAUGAGACUGAGGGGUGGUUCAUUGUACCGAAAUAUUCGCUUUUACGCCGUUCUUCCGUCCCAAAAUAAAUUGGAGUUAUCAUUAUAAAAAUAUACUUUAUAAUGGAUCUAUCCGAUGAUACUAAUUUGAUGUUAUAAAUAUAGGCACUAUUUAGACUAAGAUAACUUUAUUCAGGAUAAGACUAGAAAUAAACUUAUUUUUGGGACGGAGGCGCGGCGAAGACGAGACAAGUGUAGGAAUAGUUUGCGACAUCCAACCUACUGUAAAUAAGAACUGUAAAUAAGAACAGCGGUGUUCUUAUCCGUCUUGCUUAAAUUAAUUUAAGCCUAUUGCUAUGGUAAAUGUAUGCCAGGAAAAAAAUAUAGGUGUGCCGAAUUAUUGAGAGAAAGAUCAAAAGUAAAAAAUUGCAUGACAUGUGCACUAAUUCACACCACAUUCACAUAUUGCAAUUGUGCAUAUUAUAGCCAAAAAGUAGGAGUAAUUCUUUGAGUCUACAUAAAAAGUCACUAUCACUAGUAGAGAACUCGGUAUUAGUCCCGGUUGGUAGAGUGCAAAUCUCCCGAAAAUCUAUUCGGGAUAAACUAAUCGAGACAAAAGGGGGGGCUUUUGUCCCGGGUCACUCAACCGGGACUAAAGACCCCCUUUUAUCCCGGUUGGUAAUACAUUACCAACCGGAAUAAAAAGAGUCACCACGGCGGGCGCUACAAAAAAAUCCUCCCUCCCCCCCCCCCCCACACACGCGCGUCACAAGUCACAUGAUUUUUCACGCGAAAUAUGGGCGUGCGCGCUGCGUGGGAUUCGAACCCAUGACUCCAGCCUCGCGCGUAGCUUCCUUGCCAUCCCACCUACACAUCACAUCUAACUGUAUAGGGGAUGCAAUCUUUUUGUAUUAACUCGUGGGGAUUCUUUUAUCCCGGUUGGAAACACCAACCGGGAUAAAAGGGGGGUCUUAGGGUAUUUUUUUUCCACUAACCUUUGCAACCGGGAUAAAAGGUCCCGGUUGGUGAGCCUCCCGCCAGUGAUUGAGCUUUAGUCUCGGUUGGUGAAAUUUUUGCCCCGGACCAACUUUAAAUCGGGAUAAAAGGGGGCGUAUAGAAGGUGAGUUCUCUAAUUAGUGUAUUGUGCUCCACUGCCGGAGAAAUGUGGUUAGAUUGCAAAAGCUUUUAAUCAAGCACGACAAUAUCGAUCUUGGGGCAGUGCUGGCACCUCACCCUCGGCCAACUCCUGCUGCUGUCAGAGUCGCCCCUGUGCACUCUAGAGGCUUUCUCCGUGGCCGCAACCUUGCCCCGUGCCAGGUUGCUCUCACUUGCUCUUGCUCUACGAGCCUCUCAGCUGCUUGCCUACUCCGGCUCCGCAAAUUCGAGUUGUCGAUCGGUGACGCUCCUGCUCCACGCGCUCGCGCGCCAACGUCGGCGGAUGGGUCGUUCAUUUUCUUUUUAGAGGGUACAUCGAGGGCGCCACGACCCACACACUCACACCUACCACUAAACGCGCAUGCGUGUGUACCUUGGACCUAGACCGGGAUCUCCCGACGGUAACGAGAAAAAUUAAUCCCCGGUACCAAGCGUCGAUCCUUGGGAUCGAACUCGUGCCUGGCCGCUCGCGCACCUAGCGAGCGGACCAACCGAGCAACAUUUGGUAUCCGUUCUUUUGAUUGAUUCUGAUUUGGGUCGUUCACUGGAGCCUUCUUUUCUGGGCUGCUGUUGGCCCGGCAACAUGAGGACCCAUAUUCAUGCUUCAUCUCCGCUCGCUCGUUCUCAUCUUCCAGACUCCAGCCAUGGCGAUCGAUGCCAGGCAAGGCAGAAAUUGGGUGCAGCCCGGAUGCGAAACACGCAUCCGGUGCAUACCCACUGCCCCCGCGCGACGCGUGGAAGAAAACUCCAUCCGACGGACGGCGCUAGCCCCGGCGCCCAAACACGCGUACGUCCUCGGCUCGGCUCCCUCCCAGCGCUGGCGUCCAAGCAAGACGGCUCGCUCGGAUCCCAGGAGGCCAGGAGACGGAGGAGUUUGUUGGAGUUGUUCCAAAUUCACUCCAGGAAAUAGGCCGACCUUCCCGACCCUUGAUACUCAGGGUCGGGCGAGGCGGAGGAUCUCCCGACCCCGGGACUCGGGGCCGGGCGAGGCGGAGCGUCUUCCGACCCCUGGACUUUGGGGUCGGGCGAGUCGGAGCAUCUCCCGACCCCAGGACUCGGGGUCGGGCGAGUCGGAGAUAGACCCUCAAGGGGUCAGGCGCAUCCGACCCCAAGCUGGAGGUCGGACGAGGCGAAGUCUCAGGCGCACCCGACUCCUGGACGAGGACGACUCAAGGUCGGACGAGGAGGUUUCCAUCCUCGCACGGGACCAAGAGUCCGUACCGCUCAAUACCCCCUGUUGGGGUGUCGGUACUAUAUAUACUAGCACCCUUGCUAGGGUUUUGUACCGAGAGUCAGAAGAGAAAAAAGAGAGACAGAGAGAUUCUCUUGUAAGCCGCCAUAGGCGUGUAACCCCAAACUCUUGAUAUAGUGAGAUUGUUGCCGGCUGGUGCCCGUGGUUUUUCCUCUUCACAUUGAAGGGGUUUUCCACGUAAAUCGUAUGUCUUCUUGCGGUUUGAUUCUUUACUUCAUAUUCCAUACGCCGUUCGUUCCUAACAGGACGCGCACCGGAUUGGCCGCCGCCGCGGAGGGGACGACGACUCAGCUUCCCGGUGCUCCGCGGCCGAGCUCCGUCGGCGCCGCGCUGCCCUUCCCGGCCUCCGCCAUGGUUGGGCCGACCGCCGCCGCUAGGUCCAUCUGCCGUGGCCGGAGCGAAUGCCGCCGCCGGAUUCUUGUGUAUCUGCAACCAGAUCAUUGGUCCUUCAACUGAACUGUCAUUCAUAUCAUCCCCUCAUCGCAACAGAUCAUCUCACUCUAUCAAAGCUGCAGCGUCAUAAGAGAAGUCUGCUAUCACAUUCAGAACUUCGCACACUGUUCUUUUUUAUAAAAAAAAAACGAACCGGGCAAAAGUCCGCACACUGUUCUUGAACAAGUGAAAUGCACAAUAACGAAAAAUCAGUCGUAUAUCGAUAACUACUAUUUUUACGAGUCGCUGUUUGUGCAACAUCAUAACUAGCACGAGUAAAAAAGGUUAAUGAGGAAAGGGCAGGUCAUAAAGCGUAUCUAGCUACAAGAAAGCAGGGAGCAUUCCUUAGAGCUAAAGGCCAUUCAGUUUUCAGGCUCACCUGCCUGGCGGUGCUCCCUUUCUGCCCUGCCUCUGCAUGUGGACUCAGGACAUGGGUCACAGUCAUAGUGAGCCCACUAUUAAGUGCACAUGAAAGUGAUCAGUACUUGAUGACUUUUGUGCUGCUCUUCUUUCACUUGAAAAUGGCCUGGGAGCAUAAUAAUCAUGCGUGCAUCCUCCAUGAUAUCCCUACCAAAUCAUCAUCCUACCUUUUUUUUUGGUUGCCGCCUUUUGUAUAUAUGGUUAGUGUAAUAAUUUCCCAACCAAUCAUCACCUUGUGCACUUACUUCUUGUAGGGCUUGAAAAUAGGAUAGGCAUUCUUCAACCACUGAGGCGAAAUAACCACUAAACUUCAGCACACAACUGGAACAGUUUGGUCUCACAGCAACUAAACUUCUCAUCGGCUCUGAAGGUUGGCAUUUCCUUCCAAGACUAGAUCACUUAAACUUAAGGCUAAGUGAACAAACAGAUUAAAUUCCCUUGUUUGUUUCACACAGAUUAGUUAAACUGAACUAAAUCUUGCCAAAUCUUGCUGACAACAGCAUUUCUGGUGAGAGGAUAUAUGGUAUGGCCUCAUCUCUUCCUUUUAGUCCUCGGAAGUGAUUGAGCAGUAGCUGAUGUGAGCUUCUCAAGGUGUUUGUUGUUUAGCUAGCUAGGGACUAUAUGCAUGGGUCUUUUGAUUGCUACGCACAUAAACUGCAUGACGAGGUUCUGCACAACAUCACGGUUUCUGAAUGUGCCUUUUUCUCCUAGAUCCUAAGGAAACUAGUGCUUAGAACACUUGAACUGCAUUCAUGCGUGUCAAAAUGUAAAAUUUCUGAUGGAAGCUUCUUUUCUUCUGCAUUGGCAAGCCAAAAUUAACAUAAAAAUGUUGAAUUAUUCUGAAAAUCUGAACACAAAUGGCAGCAAAUUAUUCUAAAAAAGAACAGCAUAUUAAAUUAGAAAGAGAAAUGGUGCUUACUUUCCGAAUUGAUUGGUGACUCUAGUGCUUUAACAAGAGAUUUACAUGGAAAAAAAUUGGAUGGACCCUGGGCUCAUUGCGUCCACCAUGAGCUCCCUCCCUGGAUGAAGGACGCGUGGAGACGCGCUGCAUCAGACGGUCCUGGAAUCGAGCGUGGCCGUCCGUGGAGUUAGCGGCUCGUUCAGCAUCGAGGACGUCCCGGCUUGGCUUCUCUUUCCGUCGGCUUGGCUUCUCUUUCCAUCGGGGAAGAGUCCACGUUUGUCCACAUCGCGACUCUCUCCUACGAUGCCGCCGCCGCCUCGCGUGCGACCUGCGUCGCCGUCCGACCUGGCCGUGCCUCUUCCCCGAGCGCCAUGGCCGCCAUCUGGAUCUAGCCACGCCCGGUGUUGGCUACGCCGUGGCCGCGCCUCUUCCCCGAGCACCCUUGCUGUGUACCGGCAGCCGUGCCCGGCGCCGCCUAUGCCGUCGAUUCGCCCGCUGCCUAUGCCGUCGAUUCGCCGCCGCCUGGACCUUAUACCCGGGUGCCCUCCGCGACAGUCUGCUGGCCUACGUCGUCGCCGUCCGAUGCCGUGCUUUUGCCAGGUACGUGGCAUUGGGAAUUUAGUCUGAAUGUAGAUCUGAAUUUUUUCCAGAACUGAAGAAAAAUUGGGUCUGAAAUUUGUCUUUGAUUCAUGUUUUGCAGUAACUAGAAGAUGAGAUGCCGUACUCCUUUGAAUAUACGAUUUGUAGCAACUCUGAAUGUGCUGCAGUAUGACUGUUAUUAGUUUUUUGCUGGAACAAUAUGAUGAUGUGUAAUGUCCCUGUUUGAUCCGGAUUUCCCAAAUGAUUUUUCCAUGAAUCAUGACUGUUUUACAGAAUUACAGUGAAGGGAAAAUACAGUGAAGGCGUGAAGCAUGGCUCCCUUCAAAAAUGCUGCAGUAUGGCUGCCCAGCAUCACUACAAGAUGUUUCUGGCCUUCUGGGGGAGCAUCAGUAGACUACAUGGGUUUAUGGCUUAUUUCGGCAAGAAGCAAGGCAUCCGGAAGAUAGGAUGGUGAACAAGAUUUUUUGAUAGGAAAGAGUUGAAUCCGUGUAAACAAUUGUAUCAGUUUAGAGUUGAUCUUUUUUUUGAGACAAUAGCAGUUUGACAGGAACUAUGAACAAUUUGGUGCCUUUCAUUUAUGCUGUUGAAGGAUGUAUCAGUAAAGAGUUCAUUGAUACUUGUAAAAUGUGAUUUUUAUCUGAAAUAUAUUUGGAUGUUUUGAAAUCAGCAGUGGAAUGGAUGUCUUAAGAAUCUCAUUGUUUCUCUGAAUGCAUUGUUCUAAAAAGCUCCUAUUCAGAGCAAAAGAGACUUUCUAACAGCAAAGCAACAAAGUUACAUAGAUUUAAAGGAGACCAAAAGAGACUUUCUAACAGCAAAGCAACAAUGUUACAUAGAUUCAUUUUUCUUCCACUCCAUCAAAAUGUAACUUUCUGACAGCAGUUUGCAGUGUAGCAUCUUGAUCAACUCCCAUUAAGAGAUUUGUGUAUCCUCCUGAUAUGUAUGGAGCAACCAUUGUAGAAGGAUCAACAAGUAAAUUGAAUUGUGGCAUUGUGGAGAUAGCGUAUCCAGCUUGCACAAAAGGAGCAUCCAUGGCUGAAGAUGGCCCAACAUUAAAAUCCUGUCAUAGAAUAAGAAAGAGUUCAAAAAUCAUGUUUGUAAGGGAAAUUUUUGGAAAAUAGGUAAAUGUCUUACAGUUAAUUGGUUUGUUUCAGCAUGUUCAUCUCUUGUUUGGACAUCAUCAUUUCCCUGAUCUUCACCUACAAUGAAUAUAUAUAUAUGAUAAUACAAUAUUUAAAACAUUAUAGACAUAAGCAAAAGGUAGUGGCCAGGUGAGUACCUUUUUUCUGACCACCCUUCUUCUUCUUUUUUCCUGACUUCUUUUCAACAACAUUUUUGAAACGUGUAUUCUUUGGUCCUUUUAUUACUUCAGGAAUUCUAAAUGAUAUCACACCAUUUAUUGGUUGCUGGACACUUUCAUUUGGAAUUGGAGGAACCUCGUUGGAUUUUUCAUGCAUCUCACUUAGAUAAGUAUCCGCUUCCAGGUUCAAGUUAUGUAUGGCUUUCUGCAAUUUAUCAAGCAGUUCUUGUGAUGGCGAACACUUCAGUGCAAGAGAUGUGGCCUGUCGAGAUAUAAGUGCUGCCUGUGUCUUCAAAUCUCCUUUCUCAGUUCUUUUUUUCUCAAUAUAAAAUCCAGUUUUCGCGUAUUUUGUCCAUCUAGGCAAUAUAUAUUGCGAUGGCAAAUUGUAUACUCUAUUUGUAUUGAAGACUCUGAGAGCAUGCUUGCACAAUAGACCUGUAAGAUAUAGUUGCCAAUUACUACAUAUAUUACAUACAGCUUACAGUGUAUAAAUCUAAAUGUAAAUAGUACACAUACCUAUGGAUUCAAACAUCCGACAAGAGCAUGUAAUGGUGGAAUCUUCAGUGUUCAAUACUACCGUUGCUCCAUGGUCAGACUCCAUAUAUUUAACAAAGAAUGUCAAGUUUGUCCUCACAGCUUCCAACAAAUCACAAGUCAAUGUAAAUUGUCUCUUAAAUUCUUCCUCAAACUCCGAAUACAUUCGCCUUGUAUAUGAUUCAGCUGCAGUAUUCAACAUUGGUAGACUUGGAAUAUAUGGAAUCGGAUUCUUUCGGCGUGACUGAAAAUCAGCUUCCAACUCAUUUGCUUGGAGACUAACUGCAACCUUCUCACAUUCUACAAGGAGUUCCGAAAGACCAAGUCUCCUACGAAAUUGUUUCUUGAAAACAUUAUUCAUACCUUCACUCCUCUGGGUUGAGUUCAUGUCUGCUGUAAAAGAGUCACGAUAUAUUGCAGCCCAUUUUGUCCUCAAAGCAUAUAGGUUUGCCAUCCAAGAGUUAUUCUCAAGAUUGUAUUUAGCCAAUAGUUCUUGCCAUUUCUCUAAGAAAUAAGUCUCUGACCUGUUUUCGUAAACACAAUUUUUAAAAUCUGUUAGUAACUUGUUACCUUUCUUAUCCGCCUCAUGAAUUUCAUGACUAAGAUGUUUAGCGGCAUUUAAGCAAAUGUGCCACAAACAAAGACGGUGGCUUGUAUUUGGAAAUACAUAAGCAAUUGCUCCUGCCAUAGCCACGUCUUGAUCUGUAAAAAUUGUGCUGGGGUGCUGUCCUGACAUUGCUGUUAGAAAGGUUUCAAAGAGCCAAACAAAUGAUUCAAUAGUUUCAUUAAAGAGAAGUGCACACCCAAAAAUUAUUGUUUGCUUGUGAUGGUUGCAGCCAAGAAUCGGAGCAAAAGGCAUUUCAAACUUAUUAGUUUUAAAUGUGGUGUCAAAUGACACAGCAUCGCCAAAGCAUUUGUAAUCCAUGAUAGACUGACCAUCUGCCCAAAAGAAAUUUGCUAUGCGACCAUCUUCCUUGUCUACCUGAAAUGCAUAAAAAAAUGUAGGAUCCUCUAACUGUUUAUUUCUCAGAUAUUCAGAUAGUGUUUGUGCAUCAUUGGCUUCUAAGUACUGCCUGCGCUCGCGACCAAUCUCAUUAUCACAAUCCAUCUUAGCAAAUGGUAUGUUCUCUUCUCCUCCAUAAAACUACUUCAUGAACUCAUAAACUUGGGCUGGCUUCAUUCCAGCUUCUCGUAUCUGCCCAAUUAAUUUUCUAUCUGCCUCUAUAACCUGUCUUUGGGACCUCAACUUGUGUGCCUUAUUUGGGCUAGCAAGAUAGUGAUUGUGCUGUUCUAUGACCUUUUGUACCUUCCAAAUCCCCUCUUUGCUGAUACUAAACUGGACACGAGCAUCACAACCUGUCCUUGUUAUGUCCUUUUGCGAUGCCUCAUUUUCUCGAUGUCCUUGAUUACUGCAAACUAUAAAUUUCUGACAUAGACUUCCAUCUCGGCGGUGCUUUGUCUUGCUCUUUCUAAUACUAAACCCAACCUUGCCGGCAUAGGUGUUGUACAUCUCAUAAGCUUGAUCCUCAAAUUCAAAUGUCAUUCCAACUGUAGGAGUGAUGAAAUUUUGCCCACCUUUACGAACCACCUCCUGUACAUAUGAAUUUUCAAUUAAAGGCGUGCCAAAAAUAAAACAAAAUGUCACAUAUUCUGUAAGUUUGUUAAAUAUUUUUUUACCUCAUCAGGUACUUCAUUCUCUAUGGAUCCAGACGUCUGUAAAAUGGUGCCGAUGUUCUCUACUCCCCUGGUAACCAUGUUGUUCUGUCAAAUAUGGGCAAUAUAUCUCAGAUACCAAACAACAUAGAAGAAAAAACAUUUGUCAAAAAAAAAUGCAGAACGAUCUAAGCAGAUAACUAACCUGUGUUAUCUGUUCGUCUUCUCGACCACCAUCACCAACGGCAUCAAAUUCUAGUGCACGUGAAUCCUCCAAGAGAGAAGAAAAUGUCAUCCGAUCAACAGUUAUCAUUCCAUCUUCUUGGCCUCUAAUGUCUUCCAUGCAGGCCACUGGUUCAUCCAUGGAAGCAACAAUGGAGGAGUGCAAUUGGGCUGGUUCAUCCAUGGAAGCAGUAGUGGAGGCGUGCAAUUGGUCUAGGGCUACUGGCGGCGGCAAACUUAGGGAAGAUGAAACGAACGAGUUUGACGGUCUGACUCUCCGAUGGAAAGAGAAGCCAAGCCGACGGAAAGAGAAGCCAAGCCGGAACGUCCUCGAUGCUGAACGAGCCGCUAACUCCACGGACGGCCACGCUCGAUUCCAGGACCGUGUGAUGCAGCGCGUCUCCACGCGUCCUUCAUCCAGGGAGGGAGCUCAUGGUGGACGCAAUGAGCCCAGGGUCCAUCCAAUUUUUUUCCAUUUAUGGAUAAUUUUGGAUAGGUUUUUCUUACUAGGCAUGACGCCAAGGACGGCAAGAUCAGAAGUUCCUAAGCUCGGGAUAGAUUAACAAAGUAGAUAGAGCUGUUGAUGAAGUAAAAAUACUCAAAGGAACAAGAGACAGACUAACCCCACCCAAAACAGUUCAGCUGUACCGCGUUGCAAUGUCCAGUUUAGUGGUGUCCAAAAUAUUUAAAGGUUUCAUUCAAAAAUAGAGCAAAAAAAACUUUCACUGUGACGAAGGCCUGCGUAAGCCUGCCUAUGAUUCAUGUUAAUCUAAUUUACAAAGAUGAGAUCAUAGAAUGUGCCAAAAACUUUUGGUAAUCAAAUUGUGCAUACACCAAUGCUGAUCCCUAUUGGGUCCAUUAAACCAGACUUAGUCAACUUUGUGGCUAAAACAAUACAAUACAAUAUAUAUCAAAUCUCAUCUGCAGAGUGUAGACGAUCACCGGUAUUGAAUCCUGAAAGAUAUAAACUGAACUAUGGAUAGAAUAUAUUUGAAGGACACGGAUGGAAAGAGACAUACAACAUUCACCACAAGUUCGUCUCACAAAGAAAAAUGAUUAAAUCUGAAAAAAAAUAGAGAAGUUACAUUGAUUUUUUUUGUUUGUCAAUGUGAUUGGGAAAAUUAGACUGUGCAAAAGCUUGUUGAGGACAUUUGUGUUUUUAAAUCAACUAAUUGAUUUAGCGUAUCCAUCAUUCCAUCAAAUAAUAAUUAAGCACGUCAUCAAGCCAGUUGCUCAUAUUAAAUCAUCGUGCCUUUGGCUUAUCCAUUCCGAUCAGAUCAUGCAGUCAGAUGAAAACGAAAUGGCAUGGGAGGUGGUGUUCUAGAGAGCAAUAAUUUGGCUUCUUGCUUGGGACAUCUUCCUGUUGGGAAACGGGUACGCUAACUAUAACAAUUAUGUCUCCCGCGUUUGAUCUAGGAAACUGAGUAGAGGGGGUCAUGGAUCGUUAUCACUAGAAGCGCAGUGUAAGAAGAAUUGGAGCAGCCGAUCCAACGUAGAUGCCCAUCAGUGUAGAAGAAGUACUUGAUUAAGAUUGCCUCGUCCUCAUCCUCGUCCUCGUCCCAGCAGCAACCUCGCACUGCCGUAGCCGAUCAGCACAGCAGCAGCACCUCCACGGAGUCCAAACGUAUGGGAGAGAAACGUCAUGCGCCGGUGUGCUAGCACCGCGCGCCCGGCCAGGGUCUCGGGAUCAGGCUGAGAGGAGGUGGCGGCUAGAGCUGUGGUGUAGUGGAAUGGUGCGCCCCUACCCCACCCCUCAUAUUUAUAGAGUACACUAAUGGGCUGGUAAGCUGUAAGCCCAUUAGUGCCAUAAUCCCUCACGAUCAAUUAUGUCGUGGAUCGUUAUGAUUGUCUCUUAGGUACAUCACCAACACUUUCAUGCGACCGUACCGAGAGCAGAGGUUCUUGAGUCUGUACUAAGAUAGAGAAAUGGGUGCCAUAAAUUACUCUAAUUUCGAAGUAGGCUAAUUUUAGACGCGAAUAUUACUUCAUCCGCCAAAUUUCUAUGGUAAUAUGUUGUUUCAAAUCACAAAAGUUAUAUACUAUGAAUGGAUUUUUUCAUCAUGCAUAGGAUCUCUCUCUCAACCACAACAACCACGCGAUGACACCAUCCUCUCCGCGAUCGCGCCUUGCCACAAGCCUUACCGUGCUUGCUCCACCCGAGUUCGCCGGUCUUGCCGCAGCAGCCGCGACCUUGCACCCCUCCUGUGCACGAGCCGUGUUGCACCAUGGGCAUGCAUCACCGACACCCUUUGCUCGCCAUGUCGUGAUGCCGCCCCUUGCAUCGCCCGAUCGCACCACCUCCACCACGGUGCUCCCGGCCGCACUCCGAUCGACCUGGCCACUGGCCAAGUCUGGCUUUUGCCGGUCUAGACCGCGAGCCAAAGCUGACACCCCAACCCGACAUCGUCUUCACCGGCCACUAUGUUGGCCCAACCACCACGUCUAGCCAAUCCUCACCAACUGCAGCCCAUCAGACGGGCUACUGGUCGAAUCGCAGACCACCGCCGUGCUCCACCUUGCACCACACUGAGCAACUUCCCAACGCCCGUGAGGCAUAAACCUCGCGUCUCCACCUUUCCCCGUGCCUCCUCAUGAUCCAAAACCAACCGUACAACCCUUAUACCAAUUGUUGUGAUAUCGGCACACAAGCGGAAGGGCCGGCCCUGGCGGGCGGCGGGGGGCGGCCGCCCUGGGCCCCAAAUCCCAGGGGGCCACCCUAGGUUCAAGUGUCAAAUGAGUUAGGAAUUAGGAUUAGGACCGGAAUAGCAACGAACGCUGAACGCAGUCACGCAACUCGUACACGUCGUGUAGGGGGUCGCUGCUAGGCAAAACUCAUAUGCGUCGUCUUAGGGGGCUGCUGCGGGGGCCAGCGCCAAAACAUGUACGCGUCGUCCAGGGAGUCGCCAGGGGAUCGCCGCCAGCAAGGGCCGCCGCCAGGGAUCAUAAGGAUUAUCCAAAUCGCAAUUAAAACUCCGAUCGCCGGCAGGGCCACCGCUGCGUCGCGCGCAUCAACGACUGGUUGUUGGACUGCGUCUGCACCAUCAUCCAGGUACGGUACUCAUCGCUGUAUACACGCGCGUGCACAACCCGGCAGCUCGGCGAUUGCUGUUCUUGACCACUCUGCGGCGACCAAUCGGCUUGUUGCUUGCGGACCUUACGGUUGGUGCCAAUUCGCUUUUUGUGACCAGGUGAUUCGAUUGCUAAUUCCUCAAUUCUCCGUACCAUUAAUUAUUAAUUUAUUAUCACAAGUUAUUUAAUCUCAACUAAUUUAUAACUAUUGUGUAUUUAUAAUAAUUUUAGUACUGUAACAUUUGAUAGGUAUAAAUAUCAAGAAAUGUUAGAAGAAACUUUUAAGGUAAUAUGUAUAAAUAAUUUGAUAUGAAUAUUGCUUUUAGAUACAUUUAAAUAUUUAUUGGUAACAUUUUAUAUAUACUUGUUAUAAUGUUUAUAUUAAAGGCUCCAAGUUUUACUUUCGCCCCGGGCCUCCCAAAUCUCAGGAUCGGCCUUGAGCGGAAGCAAUUUGGUUUCAGAUCGAUGGAGGCGGGGAACUUGAGAGAGCAACGACCACACAGGAGGCACGAGAUUUGGUAACGGAGUUCGGCCGAAAUCUACAUCUCCGGGGCAUGCUUAUGGGCGCUCCUCCCUGACCACAGCGACACCAGCCAUCCCGGGCACCAACCAAGCCGGACGGCACCCCCUACGACCCGACCCUGUCUCUCAGUGCUUCUCUUUCUUGUGGUGGUUUGGUUACAAUGGUGGUCCUCUCCUUUUAUAGAGAAGCCGGUACACAUCUACCACUAAACUCUACCCUCUACUAUACCACUAGUUACAACAUCAAGUCCAUGUAACCCCUUUAGUGUAAAUAAAUAUUCGACACAUUUACAACACAAACCAUCCUGUAAGUGUUGCUUCUAGCACCUGGGAAAUAAACACAAGAAUACCUUAUCUAUCUGUGACAUUUGUUACAGAUUUCAUUUCAGCAGCAGAAUCUUUUGCUCUAGGUUUAAUUAGAAGUAACUUAAACAGUAGACUGCUUGGCCCAUUUAUUGGUAAGUGAUAAUUCAGAAGAUUAAACCUAUGCCAUCCUCACUCCCUUAAUCAAUUUUAGGCGUUUAUGUUUUAACUUGCAGCGAAUUCUAACAAUGACAAAUAUGCAGCAUAUUGUUAGUUUAUCUGUAAGACUUGGCUUGCUAGUUUAAUGCUUUUCAAGGUUUGAAGUUAUUAAUGUGCCUACUGGUAGCUAUUGAAUUUCUUUGUAUACUUUUUGUUCUGUCUUAGUGUUAAGCCAUGAGAAAGUUUUCAGAAUACUGAUUUUUUUUCUAAUGCUCAUUUUGUGGAGUCUCUCCAUCUACAACCUUUUAUUGAUACUGCGUUUCAGAUCCUUAAGUUAUAGCAUGGAUAAAUCCAUGUUUCUUUUUCUUAAAAAAUCAUGGGUAUGGGUAGAGAUUCUUGCCCGUAGUUAAUCCUGGGUAUGACACAAAUAUAGGAGCUAUUAAUGUGUGGAUUUGUCCUGGAUCUAUUCUUGUGAGAGUAUGGUCAGUUUUCCAAUGAUCUUAUGAGAGCAUGCUUGUACAGAAAGUGAGCUUGGUGUUUAAGAAUUCUUAAAUUAUUUGUGCUCAUUGUUUAUAUUUCUUUCUGUUCAAAUCAAAGAAAAUGGUCUCACACCCGACUACAUUAAUGUGUGUCAGUACGCAGCGGUUAAGCGGGUGCUCCAGCUGGAAGCGGCCCACUUCAUUAAUGUCCGUCAGGGAGCCACGUGCAAAGCUGGGUGCCACAAAUACAUGUUGAAUAAUUGUAUGGUAGCUACAAAUUCAUACCACGUGCAAAGCUGGGUGCCACAAAUUAUUGUCUGCCUUCACUCAAUCCAUACCAAGCACCUUUGUUUCCCUGCGUUGUGUUGUGAGCUCCAGGCGUUGCCAUGGCUGAGGUACUGGCCACCAUGGUGGUCGGGCCACUGCUGUCCAUGGUGAAGGAGAAGGCCUCCAGCUACCUCCUGGACCAGUACCAGGUGAUGGAGGGCAUGGAGGAGCAGCACAAGCUCCUGAAGCGCAAGCUGCCGGCCAUCCUCGAUGUCAUCGCCGAUGCCGAGCAGCAGGCGGCGAAACAGAGAGAAGGGGCCAAAGCUUGGCUGGAGGAGGUCCGGACGGUGGCCUACAAGGCGAAUGAUGUCCUCGACGAGUUCAAGUACGAGGCGCUUCGCCGCAAAGCCAAGGCGGAGGGUCACUACAAGGCGCUCGGCAUGGAUGUAAUAAAGCUCUUCCCAUCUCACAACCGUUUUGUGUUCCGUUAUAAGAUGGCAAAAAGGCUCUGCAUGAUCUUGCAAGAAAUUGAUGUCCUCAUCGUAGAGAUGAAUACAUUCAGGUUCGAAUUCAAACAGCAGCCGCAAAUGCCCAUGCAAUGGAGGCAGACGGAUGCUUGCAUCCCCACUGAGUCUGUGGACAUUGCCAGCGAAUCAAGAGCUCAAGAGACGAAGGAUCUUGUUCAUCAAUUGCUCAAGAGCAGUAAGGAUCGAUUGCUUGCUGGAGCCAGUAGUAAGGAUCUCAUGGUCCUUCCGAUAGUCGGAAUGGGGGGGUUGGGCAAGACCACCUUAGCACAGCUCGUUUACAAUGACACUGAAAUUAAGAAGCAUUUCGAGUUGCGGCUCUGGGUGUGUGUCUCUGAUGAUUUUGAUGUCGAUUCCCUGGCUAACAGAAUAGUGAAAGAGAAUGGUUGUGAAGCAAGUGGAAGUUCAUCAGCACUGGACAAUCUUCAAAAGGUAGUGAGUGGGAAGAGGUACCUCCUCGUAUUGGAUGAUGUGUGGAACCGUGAUGAGCCCAGCAAGUGGGAAAGGCUGAAGUCCUACCUUCAGCAUGGUGGCAGCGGUAGCUCAGUGCUGACAACAACUCGCGAUGAAGCUGUUGCUAAACUAAUGAUGGGUACAACUGAAGGAGCCUAUAAACUUGGAAGCUUGGAUGAAGAGUCCUUAGGGAAAAUUAUCAAGGCAAGAGCAUUAUUCGGUUCAAAACAGCCUGGUGAACUAGUUAACAUGGUUGGUGAAGUUGCCAAGAGAUGUGCUGGUUCUCCUUUAGCUGCUACAGCAUUGGGCUCUUUACUGGGUACCAAGACCAGCAAGCAAGAAUGGGAGGAUGUAAUAAAUGGAAGCACGAUUUGUGAUGAGGAAAAUGGGAUUUUACCAGUACUUAAACUAAGUUACAAUUGCUUGCCAUCAUACAUACGGCAAUGCUUUGCUUUCUGUGCUAUGUUUCCCAAGGAUUAUGAGAUUGACGUGCAAAUGCUAAUCCACUUGUGGAUGGCCAAUGGUUUUAUCCCAGAGCAAUCAAAAGUGUGUCCUGAAACUUUUGGAGAAAGAAUUUUCAUUGAGCUGAAGUCAAGGUCAUUUUUUCAGGAUUUGAAGAAUGUCCCAUUUGAUGAAAAAUAUUUUAGUUAUGCAAAGGGUAAAAAGGACAUGUAUUGUUCUAGAAUUACUUGUAAGAUCCAUGACCUUAUGCAUGAUGUUGCACAGUCUGCUAUGGGAGAAGAAUGUGCUGCAAUAGCUACACACCCAAGCGAAAGAGAGGAUGUUCUUCGUUCAGUCCGUCACUUGUAUUUGUUAAUCUAUCGACGAGAAACUCUUCUGAAUGCUGAGAAAGGAUCUCCAGCUUUCCAAACACUGAUUUGUGACGGAUAUGAAGGAGAUUUGAAGAUUUUAUCAAAAUACAACUCUAUAAGAGCUUUAAAGAAUAAUAUCUAUUGUGGUUCAAUCCUAAGGCCGAAAUAUCUUCAUCACCUGAGGUAUCUUGAUCUCUCAGGAAGUUUUUUUGUAGCACUUCCUGAAGACAUCAGCAUCCUAUAUCAUCUGCAAACACUGAACCUUUCUUACUGUCAUCGUCUUGAACGACUUCCAAAGCAACUGAAGUAUUUGACUGCCCUCCGUCACCUCAACACUCACAGAUGUGAGCAGUUGAAAAGCAUGCCUGCAGAGCUCGGACGCCUAACUUCCCUACAGACGCUUACAGACUUUGUAGCAGGUGCCGACGACUCCGGUUGCAGUAAUUUGGGAGAGCUGCAGAAUUUGGACCUUGGUGGUACACUGGAGCUAAGCAAGCUAGAAAAUGUGACAGGAGCAGAUGCACAAGCAGCAGGUCUUGGAAACAAGAAAAAACUGACCGAACUGGUGUUAUAUUGGACCGAUAGUAACCAGGAAGCACAGAAUAAUAAUCAUAAAGAGGUGGUGGAAGGUCUCAAACCUCAUGAUGGGUUGAAGGCUCUGAGGAUAAAUCAAUGUGGGAGCAGAACUUUUCCAACUUGGAUGAAUACUUUGAAAGGCAUGGUGGAGCUCAAAUUAUUCGUUUGCAAAAAGCUCGAAGAGCUUCCUGCACUCUGGGAGCUACCAGCUCUGCAAAUUCUUCACCUGGAGGGUCUGGAGAGUUUACAUUGUUUGUGCAGCGGUGGUACUACACCCGUCACAUUUCCAAAACUGAAGGUGCUUACCUUGUUAAAAAUGGCAAAAUUUGAGGCAUGGUGGGAGACACAUGAGGUACAAGGAGAAGAGCCCAUAUUUCCCAAGGUCGAGGAGCUGGAGAUUAAGGAGUGUAACAGUUUGACUGCAUUACCAAAAGCAACGUCGGUGAUUACAGAAUUGUCUGGCAGAGUUGACACUAAGUGCCGCUCUGCAUUUCCAGCAUUGAGGAAAAUGAUCCUAUUUGAGUUGACUAUGUUUGAAAGAUGGGAGGCAGGCGAAGGAAUUUCAGGCGAAGAGGUAACCUUUCCUCAGCUCGAGGAGCUGUCAAUCAUGUAUUGUCAAAGCCUGAGUGCACUACCAAAUGGAGCUGAAACUGUGUGGUGCCGCUCUGCAUUUCCAGCACUGAGGAAACUAGAAUUAUCUAGUUUGUCGGCCCUUGAGAGGUGGGGGGCAGCUGAAGGAACUCCAGGAGAAGAGGUAACCUUUCCUCAGCUCGAGGAGCUGACAAUCGGGUCUUGUCGCAGCCUGAGUGCACUACCAAAAGGGCCAUUAUUGGCUAAGCAACCAUUUGGCAGAGCUGGAACUGUGUGCUGCCGCUCUGCAUUUCCAGCACUGAGAAAACUAAAAUUAUUUUUUUUGUCAGCUCUUGAGAGGUGGGGGGCAGCCGAAGGAACUCCAGGAGAAGAGGUCACAUUUCCUCUGCUGGAGAACUUGAGUAUCGAUGAUUGCCCGAAGUUGACUGAUCUACCUGAAGCACCGAAGCUAAGUGAAUUAUCCAUAAGAACAUAUGGUGAUCAGCAAAUAUCGCUAGAGGCAGCUAGCAGAUGCAUCCCUUCAUUGUCCCGUCUGCAUCUGGAUGUGUCGCCCGAUGACACAGAAACAACAUUGCUGCAUGUCAAGAAGAAAUUGAAUGGUACACUCGCCCUACCAGCUAUGAGGUUAGGUUGCUGCGACGUUUUUUUCUCCUCCCGCUCAAGCGCACUGGCGCUAUGGACAUGUUUUGCACAGCUAGUAGAUUUGAAGAUUUGGUGUUGCGAUGCUCUUGUCUACUGGCCAGAAAACGUGUUCCAGGUCCUAGUAUGCCUGAGGAACUUACAUAUUUCCACAUGUAGCAAACUGACAGGACGCACACAAGCUUCUGAUGAGCAAUCUGCUCCAGCUCCAGAACGUGGUGGACUCCUGCCAUGCCUGGAGUCUCUAAGGAUAGAUUAUUGUCCAUCUUUGGUAGAGGUCCCCAUCCUGCCGGCAUCUCUUAAGACAUUACAUAUUGAAGGCUGUGAUGAAAUCGAGUCCAUCGUAUUCUGUCACCCGGAGGAUACGAGAUUGGUGAGUGGAGAAGGUGUUGUACGGCCGGAUACGUCAUCAUUAAUUCCAGGGUCUACAGCUGUACUGAAGCUGUCAUCUGGAGCCAACCAUCGUUUCCUUCCAUUUCCAUGCCUAGAAUAUCUACUUAUAUGGUAUUGCAGUGGCUUGUCAGAGGUUGCCAAUCUUCCUCCGUCUAUCAAGACCUUGGACAUUUAUUCCUGUAACAAUCUUCAAUCCCUAUCAGGAGACCUCCCGUUGCUGGAAAAACUCGACCUUUUUAGAUGCGAAAGACUGGUAUCCUUACCGGAUGGGCCUCAAGCAUACUCAUCUCUUAGAGUUCUUCGGAUAAUGAAUUGUGAUGGUAUAAAGUUGCUUCCGCCAAACCUUCAGAGCCGUUUGGGUUACCUUGAGAAGAAAGAUCUAGAUGCCCGUUACGAAGGUAAUCUCCAGUUUCUUUGUUUCUUUUAACAAAAUGAUCAGGAGCUCAAUUGCUGUUGCCUAAAAUGCAACUCUGUGCUUAAACAUUCUGUUAGUCAACUGUUGUUGAUAUAUACAUUAUAUCGAGUAUAAUGCACCACUAAUACCUAUAUUUAUGUGCACUUGUGUCACUUAAAUCCAUUAACUUUCAUAUAUUGCACAUUCGAGGUAUCUAAACACUUACAGCUGGAUCAAGAAGUUUAUGCACCAAUAUACACUUCACUUUACUCUAGUCAUCCUUGUAUAUCUCCUUGUUGUCCGUACAAAGAAUUUAACUAUAAGAUGAUCUUUGUGGUUCACUUUUGAUACCUUGGUUGUAAACUUGUAAUUGCUGACUCGAAUCAUGUAAUAAAAUCAAUCAUCUUCCUUUAGUUGUAUUUAAAGCAGCAUGGCAUCAUGGAAUUAUUGCAGCCGAAUUCACUAGCUCCAAUUAAAGUGGCACUGGUCCUAGUGUUUCUCUGGACAUUCACUAGCUCCAUUGUAUACAGUUCAAGUAUGUGUAGUUUUCUUUUCAUGGCUUAUGCCUUUUGACAUAAAUAAUAAUUUUCCUUUGAAACAUUUACUAUUGGGUGCCACAGCAUAUUCUCCUGUGUAUAUAUACUUUCUAACUUUGUGUUGACUUGCAUGCAUAAAUUCUAACAUCAUGUAUGAUCAUGGCCUGAUUGCCAGAACCAACCUGGAAACGUUCGAUCAGGAAGCUGGUGUGCUUGAAAUAGUAGAUCAAGACCUGACCAAAGAAAGUUAUUUCCAAGGUAUUUUUGCAAAAACGUCACCAAGGUUUGUAAUAUUAGUGUUCUUGAUGAUUGAUUUGAAAUGAUGCUAGCUCCUAAUGCUGACUUCCUAUGCGUUGUGACUUCCUUGUAGGAUCGUGCUAGAUCUGCAAAAGAUGGAUUAUUGUGACUCUUGUUUAGAAUGUAUCAUAUGCGCAUUCUCUCCAGUAAAGUUAAGGCAAAGUCCUAGAUUUUGAGCAGAAAACAAGUCCUAGAUUGCAAGCUGAAGAAUUUAGCACACAGAGCUGCAUGCUCCAGUCUUUUAUCCUUAUUUUUUUCUUUUGAACUAUGACGUGUUUGCAUUCGUGUCUGCUUCAGCCUCCAGCACAAGCGAAACACGGGCAGCACUUCCAUUUUAUGAUUUGUUUAUCCACAUACAUGUCCGAUUGACCGCAGAGGAUACUUUGCCAUAGAGUAGACCAACAGUCCAACGUACUCAUGUUGUUGCUCGACAAGCUGUCCAAGCUGCUGCUUGAUAUGAACUGAAAGUGCUGAGUUUUCUCCCGUGUAUGUUCUGUGUAUCAAAUACUGAAUGGUGUGCAGGGUGAUCCUCCAUCCUGGAAUGGCACGGUCUUGUGCAGAGGUCUCAUUGUUGUUGACCUGUUUCUUCAAAACUGCAUGUGCAGCAACAUUUUCUCCUGGCAGUGCUGCAAUGGAAUUGAAAAGAAUGGUGAUUGUUAUAGUAUAAUUGUCAUAUAUAGUCUGGGACACAAAACAAUGGAGGUACAUGAGCAAGGAAGAAGCUCUGGAGGCAGGGGAUGGAACAGAACAGAGACACGGACUCUGUCUUCUUCCGAAUGCAGCUCCUCUGUAUUGGCGAUGAAGGACCCUACAAGUUGGUUCUCAUAGACAGAAUUGAGAGCUACGGAUGUCCGCUCCCAAGAACGAACUGCCAGAGCAAGAAGAUGAACGUAAUCUGUAUAGAUAAAAAAAUUUAACAGAAGUUUUCAUGAGUUAUCCUUUGUCUGGGGCCAUAGUACAAACCCUGCAUUUCGAAUUUGGGACUGCCCUCCUGUAUGGUGUGACCUAAAUUUUAACAAAAAUUAUCCUAGUGUGGUGUGGCUACGGUUGUUUCAUACGACUAGUGGUGGUACCCGUGCGACCCGCACUGGUUUAAAAAUAUAUAAUAAAAACAAACUUAUUAUUCAUGAUAUUAAAUACGUAUAAUAUACAAAUAAAUCUAAUAUAUAAAAGAUGUCCCAAACAAACUACCAGCAUCUUUGGAUCACACGGGUCUACCAUCAAGAAAUAAUUCUUAAGAAAUGAACUCUUUUGUAUAGUAAGUCAUUUUUCUAAUGAUACUGGCAGUAGUUAAAGCAGGAAUGUAGGAUAACUAGGUAAAGAAGUUUGUGUGAUUGUGUCUACCAUCCUAAGCUGGCAUUCAUGUCUACCAUAGUAUGACAACCCAUCUUGUCGAGUGGAGACAAUUUCGUGUAAAAAAAAGGAGUUCAGAUGAAUUUGUGUCAAUUAACGCUUUCCAGUACUACACAUCUUCCCCCAAUCACCUAGAAUUCCAGACAGAUCUUUCUUCCCCAACCAGCUAAUCCAGAGCAAGGGGUCAGAUUUUUUCUACCGUUUGUAAAUUGUAACCAUGCUACCACUUUACUCUCCCAUCUGUGUUUUAAAAGAACUUAAGUUAGAAAAUUUUGAAAGAAGAAUAAAACGAUAAACAAAAGCAACUGGAAACCCAAUUUUGAAGCAACACAAUGUUAUAUUUUCAAUUCACCGAUCACAGGUACCAUUACUGCCCUGGGGCUUUAAGUCGCCGCAAACAAAACUGAGGAGUCUCCUACAUACUACGAAUUAGCUGAAACUAUAAUGACAUCAUUCUAAUUACUACAAGAAAGGUCAGGUCAAUUUGGCUUAAUUACCUUGUGGUUCUGCUUCGGUUGAUGGUAGACAAAUAUUAAUACAAGGAAUUUAAGCAUUGCUACCUUGAAUGAACACAUAUAUCCAAAAGAAAAUGUGUUUGGAAGUAAUUCUUGCUCUAUUCAAAUGUCUAGGGAAUAAUUUCAAAUAUUAUUCCAAUUUGAUUCUUUGCCUCAUCGACAACUCAACUCAAUUCUCAUUACAAUAGUUCAUAUGUCCAGAUUGAACAUGUACUUUGAAAAAGAUGCAUAGGCUGAAUAAUGUCCCCAUCCCAAUAAACAUACCAAAACAAAACAGCUAAAUUAAGAAACACACAUCCAUAUAGAGGUAAAGCUUCUGCCUUCUUCCUCAAACAUGAUUUAGAAAUCUUUACAAACCAGCCAGCCUGUAAUAAAACGUCUGCAUAAUAAUAAAAAAAAAGAAUGAGCCAUUGAUACUUACGAUUAGUAUUAGAAACAAUCAUCUCAUUAGGGGCUUACAAAGUAAGAUUUAAAGUCCAAACAAAGUAAUAGUUGAGUGUCCUUGCAUUGCAAUCGCCAUCGAUACUAACAAGCAUUGUGCAUCAUUGAACUCUAGUGGGGGCAAUAAUAUGAUAAUAUUUAACUAUGAUGAAAUGGUGAGCCAUUAACCUUGCCCUUGUGGAUACAUAAGCAGAAGAAAAGUACAUAAAUUCCAAAUCCGAAUUUAGUAGCAAUAUCAUCAAUACAUUUUCUUUGAAACGCACCAUCUGCUGCGUUGUGGGUUCUGAUUUCUUGCUGAGGAACAUUUGCACAAGCAGAGCCAUGUUGUGUCCAGGUAACCAGUAGAACAAAUAAAAAAGGACUAUCUCUGAUGCAUAGGUAUCCUAUAAUCUUCGACAAAUACAAAGAGUUUAACAAAAAUCGAAUGGUUUUAAAAAAACAUCACAGAGUCACAAGAUUUAGAAUCAAAAGAAUGGAAGGCUUUGUAAAAACCAUGCGCAAUUUCCAAACAGCACAAUUUUCUCUUCCAUUACAUAGAUUUUAACAAGGUUAUUAUGUAAAAUUAAAGGUAUAUUAGAAAGGUAGAUAUAGGCACAUAGCUGUUACUCCAAGGUAACAUAGGUUUCAGGUAGAAAGCUUCAAUCAGCAGCAAAAGCCCCUUUUCAUCUAGAUGGCUUGCAUAAUCAAUGCCUCCUCAUUCUGGUGUUUGAAAUGCUCCUGUACAACCAUCACAACAGACAGCUCAUCAUCUACAUCACCUUACUGUAAAGAAAUACCAUAGUAAUUUUUCUCUGCACAAAUAAGCAACGUGUAAGAAAGCUUUAAUUUUUUCACAGCCACAAAAUUUAAAUCCAUAGCAUGUAGUAACUAGUAAGCAUCUGUAGUAAUUCCUAUUUAAAGUGUCCCAGAAGCUUAACCACACCAAAGCAAUCGACGUAGAAGUCAGAAAGCUAACCAUAAGUCAAUGAAAUAGCAAAAUGAAGCCCUCGAAAAGCGAAACUGCCUUUUCUACAGGAGGUAGAAGUACUAAUACUUACUUCCCCCAUCCCAAAUUGUGGGUCGUUUUAGCAUUUCUACAUUAAUAAAAAGUUAGAUGCUGCCUUUUCUACAAGCUGUCGCUCCCACGAGGUUAUCUGCUAGAUCACUGGACGCAAUUUGCCAAUGGGACUGUUAUGGCAAGUGGGCUGGCCGCAGGCCUAGGCCCACGAGUAUUGUAGCUCGUGAACAGUACCACAAGGGGAAUAAGAUUGGUUUGUUAGCAGGUCAUUAGAGAUAAGGUUGUUAGAGAGAUACGGUUAUUUAGAUUAGAUUGGGUUUGUUAGGUAGCUGGCUAUAUAAGCACAGCCACACCAUCCAUUGUAAUCAAGCAAGAAGAACCCUAAAAGUAGUCGGAGCCUCCAAGGGAGGGCGACAAAUAGGUUCUUCGUGCUAUCCCUAGUUCUACCAUAUCAAGGACCGACCAACCCCUGCAAACAAAAUAAAUGUAGCAGGAUGCUGGUUUAAGUCGGCAGAAGAAGGGCAAAGAAGAUACAAAGUAAACAUUAAGGAAUUGAUCUUAAUUGGAUGCUUCCAUUUGAAUCUAUCUAGCAGUGAUCUAAUAACCAGAUGCACCACCAUAAUAACCAAUGGCAAAAAAUCUCAGGCAUAAACUUCUAUGUUUCAGACCAUACAUUUCAGCUUGACGUGGUAACAAUAAUGGAGCCGUACUGCAGGAGGAUGUACUUGAAAAGUUUAUUUUACCAUGGAUUGAAGAUACGGCAACUAGCCACUUUGCGAUUCUUCAAUAUCUUUCCUUGAGCUAAUAACUAUUGCAAGCUCAUCACCGCUAACACGAAAAUCAGACCUGUAAAACAUAAAGCUUAUAACAUAACCUAAAGAAAAGUAAUUGUCUGAUUCCUAGAGCUACAUCUCAAGCAACAGUAUAUUACUAACUUUAGUAAUCAUGGAGAUGAAUGGCCAAUUCUUCAACAUAUCUUAUAAUUAGUUAACAUACUUCUGAAAAAUGUCUCAUACUUACAGUUUAUAGUUAUGCAUUUUGCAAAGUUAAAAGCUCUUUUAGAUUUCUGAAGUUUUCAGUGAGGAUCCGCAAAUCUCUGUGAUGAUACCAGUUUCAUACAAAGAUGCAAGAAUUAUAUCUAAUAGUAUUGCCAGACCCAUUGGAUGUGUCCAUGAAACACACCUACUAAUUGGACAAUGGCUGUAGUGAAAAAUUCUUUGCAGAGCAAUAACAUGAAACAGAUAAGAAAUGAGAAAAAAGAGUAGGGAUCACGUACUAACCUAGGCCGUGCACUUGCCUGCUGUAUGCUAAAGGGGAAGAAACAUGUUCGGAUCAAACAUGGUGUCCUUCAAACAUGGUGGCCCUCACCUCUAAACAGUCAGGUAAAUCUAAGAGAAAUAGAAUUGCUGCCAACUGAAAGACUCGAAACUGCUAGAAGAAAAAUAACUCGCAGUGGCAACCUAUCAACACCAUUUUGAAGGCUACAAACCCUUUACUGCGUUAGACAUUAUAAUUUUAGGCUUGUUCAUCAAAGAGUGAAUUGCCGAAUUGAAGGAACAUACAAUAGAUUCCACAAGUACAUGAUAAAGAGGAGAUGAUAAAGUGGAAAUAAUACCCCUACUUACAUGUGUCUUUGGAUACAACAGGUACACGAUAAAUAAAGAUACAGAAGUCAAAAUAAAGAGAAGUUUGAAGGAGCGUAAAAGGAAUCGCAAUGCAGUUUUAUUUGAAUCCAUGUAUGCAUGUACGUGCAUUCUUGUGUUCAGUUAUGACAAAGAGGGUUAGGAGGAACGAGAAGUACCUGCUAUGCUGCUGCAUCUGGCUCUUUUCCUGGCAAGAGAAACAAAUAAAAAAUGAAUAAGGUGCAUAAAUAACAUAGUGCUGCAAUGCUAAAGGAGGAAACCAAAACAAACAUUUACGAAAUUGAUUAUGAUUAUUAGUAACUGAAUACAUUCAGAAAAAAAUAAAAACCAUUCGCAUUAGGGCUUGGCGAUAUAACUGAACCGUUAGGUCGCAAAGAUCAAGCCAUGUCACUAUAAGCAAUGCUGGUAGUGAUAGGGAAAAAAAGAAAUAACAGUUCUGACAGAAUCACUUAUGAUUUGGUUGCACACACAAAGUAGCAAGGAAAAAAAACAGUGCUUAGACAAAUGAAAACUUCAUAAAUCAAACUGCUGAAUGAUUGCAAGGGAGGUGCAUACUUCCUCUUUCUGUUGCCCAUAGCAUUUGUCAUGUCAUCCUUCGGCAUAUUGGUGCUUGGAGUUCCCACACUGUUCAAGAAAGAAAAGGUACAAUUUCAGGUUUCAUUAAGACAGUGCUGACAGAAUCACAGCUGUUACUCUGUUAGAAUCUAUUGAGUCCAAAGUCUAAACAUGUAUAUAUGAAGUCUAAAUAUACAGGAUAUGCAAGUAACAACAAUUAUAAUGGGCAAAUAAACAUUGCACUGCCUGAAUUGCCAUGUCUACAUGGCAUUUAGCAAUGCAAACUGUACAGAAUGGAAAGAAAAUCUGAAGUAAACAAUGAUCAGUCUAUCCAAAUAUAGACUCAAAGAACAAUUUCACAUACAGGCACAACAUCUCGGCCUGGAGAAUGGCGCAACAUCUCUGCCUUGUUUCAGAAUUCAGAAACCAGGUUUGGUGCCUUCCAGCAGUGGGCUACCAUGCACACAGUACGUCCAUACCUAACCAGAUGGGCCAAAUAGAGGCGCAUCACCAAACCAAAUCAAUUUUCAUACUCCGUCCCUCCCAAAUUAUAAACUGUUUCGGUAUUACUAGAUUCAUAAGUUUUGUUACGUACCUAGAUAUACACUGUGCUUAGAUACAUAGUAAAUUCUAUGAAACUAAAAACCGCAAAAUGAUCUACAAUUUGGAACGGAAGAGUAGUAUGCAAGAAAUGUCAAAUGUGCUAUCGACAACCAGGUAAUUUGUUUCUGAAAGAGAGUAGGGUUCAGUUCAGAUAUAAUGCUCUUGGACCAGUGAGCAUCAGCAAGGGGCAAGUUGCCGAUGUCCCAGUCCAAUUCUAUCACACAACUUGCCUACUGGAUCAGCUUAUUUCUUUGUUGGGCAAGCAUAAUUUUCCCCGUAUAAAAAGGCCACACAACCUCAAGAGAAGAUAAUGAGGUAAUACUUGGUGUACAAUACACAUAUAAUUGCUCCGUUCUUCAAUAGACAGUUCAGGUGCAGAACCAGUCCGAAUUUAAGCAAAGACAGUUCAGGUGCAGAACCAGUCCGAAUUUAAGCAGGUUCAGACCAUACUCAGAAAGGUUAUGCUUGAUUAAAAUUCUAUUGAUAAGUAUUUAUACAUUAUAACUGAAGGUAAUACGUUUCCAGAUGGCGUCAAAUUGCUGCUAGUCAAAGCCUCAUAAAAAAGUUUAUUGGCAGAUCUCUUGGACUGUCAUAGUGCAUGCUCCCUGUCCCUGACAUUGUAACCCUGGUGUGAGAUCCUUAAGUAAUCUGUCACUGGAAUCACCAAUCCUAUCCGUAGACAAUUACUUAAACCUAAUUUGAAACAAAUAUUAACUAAAUGGGCCAAAGAAUGUGAAGCUAACUGAAUGCAGUCUGCAGCAGAACUAAGAACAAUGUCAGGGCUGAUUGCUCAUAGGCUGACAGCCACAGCAAAGAAAAAUGUCCCUGCAGAAUGAUCAUGGAACAAAGCUGGGGUUACUUACUAAACACGAAGAACUCUCUCCUUCCAAGCUUCUUGGUUCUUCCGUUCCAAUGCUCUGUGGUACACAUGAAAGCAUCUGAUCAAUUUAUGUGCAUAAUUCAUUUUCCAAUGAACAAGCAUUGGGUUUGCUGGAUGUGGCUCUGAUCAAGUUUCUUCCUUGACAUUUUGUCAAACACAUGGAAUGCACCAGACUUUUAAUUUUAUUGGGUCAAGAUUUUGCAGGGAAAAUUAUUCAAUCAAAGAAACAUUACAAUGGGAAAAUAUGUUGAAUGGGAGAGGAAACAAUAACUUGCAAAUACUGAAUUUCAUGCUAGAGUUGUAAGCCAAUGGCUAGGAAUCAAAUGCAAAUGGCAGUGGUUCAAUUCUAACCAAUUGAAACAUAUGCUUGCGAGGGAACCAACCUUCUUGAAGACAUUGCAAGAGUUGCAGAAGCAUCCCCUGUAAUGACAGAGUGGCACAUGGAGAUUAGAGUUGAAGACAUUGCAAGAGUUGCAGAAGCAUCCCCAUCAAGAUUAUCUUGGAUCGAAGGUUGGCAUCCAUCGGUGUUCCAAAUCUCUAAUCACUGAGAAAAUCUCCAAAAUUAGCAACGCAAUACAAGCACGUUAUUGCACGUUAUUGCAGCGCUGCUGGUGGAGCCGUCCGGGAUCCCCAACCCCUUGAGGUGUUCGCCAACCUUGUUUACAUCCUUGCCGCUGCCGCCAUCGCCUACGUACCCGACCAGAUCAACCACAGAUUAGAUUAGGCCGCACCAGAGACUGCGGGGACUGCGAAGGGAGGGGAAGGACCACAGCAGAUUAGAUUAGAUUAGGCCGCACCACAUAUAGUUAGCUUGCAUCAUAUACCACAACAUUCAAUAUAGUAUGUACAGGCAUCAAAUUAGGAAAGGGAAAAGCAAUCAGAUCUUUUUGAAAAUAAAAGCGAAGAAUGCUGUGUUAAUCAAAACAAAGGGUAAUGAACAUCUGAAGUGAGCUAUGAGCUAACAGAUUAUAUAUUAAAUAUAAUAAGCACAAUUAGGAACGAAAAUUUACUCCAAAGAAUCCAAAAACAAGAACAUAAAAAAAAGCAGAGGAUCAGAGUUCUGGCUUGGUUCUCAAAAGAGAAAUUAUAGCACUCAGUAUGUUCAUUGUCGAUCAUCUGGGGAAAGGGUCAUCAUAUCCUCCGAGGUAUGCAACACAAUUAAGAGAGCUCUUACACAACACCAAAAGCAUAAACUCUGACAAGGGAAAAAGGGAAAGGCAGUAUAUGAAAUUCACUACAGGUCAACAAGAAAAUACAAUGCCGUAUAAACUAUGAAGGAUCAGAAUUCUGGCUUGGUUCUCCGAAGAGAAGUUAUAGAGUACAGUAUGUUCACUGUCAAUCAUCUGGGGAAAGGAUCAUCAUAUCCUCCAUUCAUAUAACGUUAAAUCAUAGGAGAAAACAUCAUUUUAGAUAACAUGUCCAAAAAUACGUUGUCCAGAGAAUAAUUGUGCGGUAGUCCAUGUAGCCAUGAGGUUGUGGUGGCUGAAGUCAUGGAUUCGAUACCCAAUUCUCCUUCUCUCAAAGCCGUAUUCCCAUAUUGACAUGUAAAAGUUCAAUUAAGUAGGAAUGAGAAAAUGUAUGACUACCACUACAUAUUGGUAUAAGCCACCAGCAGCCGCGGGGGCCGAGGGGGCGCGGAGGCGCGCGGGGAGGGAGGUCAGCGCGGACCGCAUCGCCAUGUCGUCGCGCUCGAAUCUGCCUGCGGUGGCCUGGUAGGGUUGAAGGGGAGGAGAGGACGGGGAGGAGAGCCGCCGAUUGGGUCGCAAUCGAGCUAAUGUGGAGGGAGGUCGGGAGAGCAGACGGGAAGAAGGAAAGAAACGCGUGAUUUGCGGGCGGGAUUGGCCGCGGGUACGGCGGGCGGUUGAAAAAUAAGCCAUUCCCCCGCCGCCAUUCCACUCCGCUCCCAUUCCCCCGCCGCCGCAGGAGCGCACUCCCUCCUGCACCCACCGGCGGCCCGCAAGCCCCCCACACCUUCUCCCUCUCCCUCCCCUUCCCCAUUCCUCCGCCUCCCGGCCCCCGCGCGCCCGCGCCUCCCGCUCCGCCUCCGCUCCACCUCCCCGGCCGCCGCCUCCGACCUCACCGACUUCCCCAACCCGAACGGCAUCCUCGCGCCCAUCGACGUGGACGCCGUCACGGAGGCGGAGCUUCGCGAGAACGGGUUCCGGAGCACGCGCCGCACCAAGCUCGUCCGCACCGUGGGCCCGGCCACCUCGUCGCCCGAGCAGCUCGAGGCGCUCGCCAUCGGCGGGAUGAACGUCGCCCGCCUCAACAUGUGCCACGGGGACCGGGAGUGGCACCGGGGCGUCAUCCGGGCAGUCAGGAGGCUCAACGAGGAGAAGGGCUACGCCGUCGCCGUCAUGAUGGACACCGAGGGCAGCGAGAUCCACAUGGGGGACCUCGGCGGCGCCACAUCGGCCAAGGCGGAGGUGAGGUGUUGUGCUUGUAUGUAAGCUGCUGUCCAGUUUUGUACUUGGCGUUGCGGUUUUCAGUUUUCAGAUUGAACGCUUUCACUUGAACGUAUUCCGUGAAAUGUGCUUGUGCAAUGUGGAUGAGAGGAACGGGUGGUGGCAGUGGCAGUGUCAGGCAUUGCAGUUUCAUACUUCUGCAAAACCUAGCGAGUCAGGAUUUCACCAAAAUGUUUUUUUUCCAUCUUCAAAAUGGCUCAGUUGAUUUAGAUUUUCAGCUCAUGUUUGAAAUUGCUAUAGAAGGAGAAUCAUUCAGAAUUUCAGAUUGUCAUCAAACACUGGAUUGUGAAAGUGGUAAUCAUUUUCAAGGCUUUCAAUCUUUCAAAAAAAAAAUCAAGGCUUUCAGUAUCAGUGCAACUCAAAUAAAGUGCAUGGUAAACAUCACCAUGUUUUGGCUUUCUCUGCAUAUAAGACAGGGUGCUGGAGUGGUUCGACCGCGUUGAGGUCCCAAUCCAACCGGUCGGGUUUUUUCUAGGUGUCAAGUUUGAGUGCUUACCCGCAUUGACAUCCCAAUCCAACCGGGCGAGUCUUGUUUAUUUUUCGUUUCUUUUCCUUUUCCUACCUAUGGCCUCCCAGGGCCGUAGUCUUGUAUUUUCUGCUAUAUCAAUACAAACUCGCACGGUUCGUUCAAAAAAAAAGUGAUAGGCAUUGAGGUUCUGAAGGUUGUUUUUUAGAUCUUAGGCCCAAGCCUCAAAUGGCUUUUUUUCCCCUGUUGCAAACCUUCCUUUAAGUAUUGCAUCUAGCACCGGGGAAAACACAGGAAUAUCUUUCAUUUCAGCAACAGAAUCUCUUAUAAAAAGGGCGUACCCAGUGCGAAAGCUCCCACACAAGGUGGGGUCUGGGGAAGGGAAUUCCUAGACAACCUUAUCUUUGCAAUAUUCUUUUAAAAUUCUGCAAAGAGGCUGGUUCGAACCCAGGACCUCCGGGCCACAAGUGGAGAGUUUAAUUUGAAUUAGCUUUAUUAGUAGAAUGCUUGGCCCAUUUAUUGGUAAAUGGUAAAAUUCAUAAAGAUUAUCCUUAUUCCGUUAAUCAAUUUUAGGUGUUUAACUUGCAGCAAAUUCGAACAAUGACAGACAUGCAGCAUAUUGUUAGUUCAUCUGUAAGACUUAGCUUGCUGGUUUAAUGCUUUGUUAAAGGUUUGAAGUUAAUGUGUCUACUGGUAGCUACUGAAUCUCUUUAUAGUUUAUUUAUAUCUUUUUUCUUUAUUAGUAUAAAGCCAUGUAGAAGUUUUCAGAAUACUGAAAUUUCUAGUGUUCGUUUUGUGGAGUCUCUCCACCUACAUCCUUUUUUACAACUGCAUUUCAGAUCCUUCAGUUAUAGCAUGAAUAUUUUUUUAAAAAGAAACUUCUAGGUCUAUUCUUGCCCGUAAUUAAUGUUAGUGUCUGAUGAUAGUUGUGUUUUAGAUAAUACAUUAAUAUUAGUAAUCCAAAGAAACUGAACUACUUCUAUGAUUCUAAGGCCCUGUUUGGCAUGGCUCCAACUCCGGGUGGAGCUGCUCCACUCCAGAACUUCACAUGGAGCCAGCUCCGCUCCAAAACUCCAGAACAAAAAUGAGGUGUUUGGCUAGAUGGGUGCUCUCAGCUCCAAAAAAAAUCGAUUUCAGUGUGGAUUGCCAUUGUUGCCCCCCAAUUAAGGCACCACUUGUCAUCCUCUCUAUCCCAUCUUCUUCUUCCCCUUUUUCCACUGCACUGUGCCGCACACGGGAGACCCUCCAUGGGCGGCGGGGUGGGUAGCGACGGGGCGGCGGGUGGCGACGGGCGACGACAGGCGGCGGGGUGGGUGGCGGCGGGCGGCGACGGGCGGCCGGCGCGGCGACGGGCGCGGCGGUGGGUGGCGGCGGGCGACGGGCGCGGUGAUGGGCGGCGACGGGCGACGGGCGGCGGCGGGCGGCAACGGGCGGCGGCGGGCGGCAACGGGCGACGGGCGACGGGCAGGGCUCUGGCGGCGAGUGGGGCUCGGGAGAAUAGAAGGGAGAAUAGAAUGAAACGUUUUUUUGUGUAACCAGUGGCAUUGGUGGGUAAUUACCCACCAACUCCACGAUAAGGUUCGAAAGAGAGGUUUCUGGAGCAGCAAAAGAGGUGCUCCAAAACUCCACCUGCAUUUGCACUACAGCUCCAUGGAGUUGGCAACUCCAUGGAGUUUUGGAGUUGGGGUGUUUGGCUGAAUUUUUUGAUGGAGUUGCUGGAGUUUAGGAGUGGAGCCGUGCCAAACAGGACCUAACUGUCAUCAGUGCUAGCUAGGGUCACUAUGCCAAAAGGAGAUUAUAUCACCAUUCGGCUGUUUAUCUUAAGUUUUUAACCAUACAGUCAGAAGUUUGAUUGUACACCUAUUCAAUAAUCCUAGGUUUUCUUGAGCCACGUUAUUUACCCAAUGACUUCCAUUUUUCUUGGAAUUAAAACAUUUCUGAAGUAAUUAAUAAAUCAUCUCACAUUUGUUGGAUUCCACAGGAUGAAGAAGUCUGGACAUUUAGUGUUAGGUCAUUUGAAUUGCCUCUCCCAGAACGAACUAUUAAUGUGAUUAUGACGGGUUUGCUGAAGGUAUAUAAGCUGACCUAUUUGUUGAUAUCUUUCGCUGUUAUUGUUCACUGCCAUAAUUUUGCAUCAAAAUCCUACACAGAUGUGAGAGUUGGUGAUGAGCUUCUUGUGGAUGGUGGAAUGGCUCGGUUUGAGGUGAUUGAGAAGUUGGGACCAGAUGUUAAGUGUCGCUGCACGGAUCCUGGUUUAUUGUUGCCACGUGCGAAUCUUACAUUCUGGCGUGAUGGCAGUAUUGUCCGUGAGAGGAAUGCUAUGCUUCCUACAAUUUCAUCAAAGGUAAAUGCAGUAGCAUAAUAAAUUUCUUGCUGCAAUUACCAAAAGACCGCAAAACUUUGUUAAUCUAUGCCCCCCCUUGGUACUAGUAUUGCAAUGGAUUUACAGCUUGUUUUUUCUGUCAAUGCCAUGGUCAGUUCAAAACAACAUGUAUUAGUUCAAAGCCUUACAUUGUGCACUGAAACUCAUCUCUCGAUAGUUUUUGUCAGCUAUUUCUUAAGAAGGCUUCUACCACCUAGAGUUGUUUAACUGAAAAUUUAAUCUUCUAGUAGCAGAUACUAAUAUUUUAAGUUUAUAACAAUGCUGCUCCUUUUCUUGUGACAACUUGUGCAGGAUUGGCUUGACAUAGACUUUGGAAUUGCCGAAGGUGUAGAUUUCAUCGCUGUUUCAUUUGUCAAGUCAGCAGAAGUAAUUAAACAUUUUAAAAGCUACAUAGCUGCAAGGAGCCGUGGCAGGUACCAGGAGUAUAAUUCUGUACUGUUAUUUAAGUUUAUGCUUUCUUGGAAAAGCCAUAUUUGACAUUAUUAAACUGAUAACGGGUGUUCCUAGAACUGUUCUGCAUGCUUAGCCACUGUUUGUGGUUGGUUCCUGGUCAGUCCCAGAUGAUUACUCAUACUGGUAGGGUUUUAGUUGUAUUCUAACCCCCAAAAAAUCAGCCUGGAAUAUAUUGGUUUCUAUGUAGUUACUAGAGAAAACAGUGAAUCAACAAGAUAUCCCCUUUCUGGUGUUCCUCCUUUUCUAAAUAAUGCUGUGGAACAACAUGAUUCAUGGAAGAAUAAUAAGAACUGUUUAAAAUUGUUUGGCUUUCCUCAACCUGGUGUCUUCUCUGUGCCAAAAAAACAACACUUGGUGUCAGGUGUCAUCUCAGCACCUACAAUUCAUCUGCAUGCACUAGAAAAAUUGUGUGUGUGUAGCUCCUGCCAAAAUUGCCAGUUUGCCAUUGUACGUCCAUCUCAUGUUUUGUGGCUAAAACUCAGUUAGUGACACAAAAAGUUACCUAGAUUAAAAUCGCUAAUCCCAAACCGCAAGUGAUACCAAUCUUGCUAUGUUAUCUUUUAUACUUCAAUUAAUUGGGCCUUGCAAACAUCUAAAUCAGAAAGGAUUGCUAGUACCGUGUUUCUGAAAUGUUUCCUUCAUUUUGCUGAACUUUGUUGGUUCCUUACUCUAAUAAUGCUUUAUUUUAUAUGAUCAGUGAUAAGCAGUCAUUGCGAAAAUUGAGAGCAUUGACUCUUUAAAGAACCUGGAGGAGAUCAUCCGAGCAUCAGAUGGUGCCAUGGUAGCCACUCUGGAUAUGGGGGCACAGGUUCCCUUGGAGCAGGUCCCCUCAAUACAAUAAAAGAUAGUUCAACUGUGCAGGCAGCUCAACAAGCCAGUCAUUGUUGCUUCUCAGCUCCUUGAAUCAAUGGUCGAGUAUCCUACUCCCACAAGGGCCGAAGUUGCCGAUGUUUCUGAAGCUGUCCGCCAGCGUGCGGAUGCUCUAAUGCUUUCUGGUGAGUCAGCAAUGGGAAGAUAUCCAGAGAAGGCUCUUAGUGUUCUGAGGAGCGUUAGCCUCAGGAUUGAGAAGUGGUGGCGGGAGGAGAAGCGACAUGAGGCACUGGAACUUCAAGGUGUUUCAUCUUCAUUCUCUGACAAGAUAUCAGAAGAAAUCUGCAACUCGGCAGCUAAAAUGGGUAAGUACUGCCACCAUCGUAUUCAGUGCAUACCAUAGUUAUGUUGUCAUAGCAACUGAUAUAGCAGCUGACGCCAUCUUUGUUUUCACAAAGACUGGCCACAUGGCCUCCUUGCUCUCACAGUGCCGUCCUGACUGCCCAGUUUUCGCCUUCACAACAUCGACGUCCGUCAGGAGGCGGCUAAACCGUCAGUGGGGCCUCAUCCCAUUCCGCCUCAGCUUAGCAACUGAUAUAUUCAAUUGCUUUGCUGUUUCAUCUUCCUAUUAUUGUCCAUUAUCUUGGUUACUGACAGAACAUUUAGAUUCCAUUUUCUUAGAAGCUGUGUCUAAACAAAACCAAUUUCAUCUGCAGCUAACGGCCUGGGAGCUGACGCCGUCUUUGUUUUCACAAAGACUGGCCACAUGGCCUCCUUGCUCUCACGGUGCCGUCCUGACUGCCCAGUUUUCGCCUUCACAACGUCGACGUCCGUCAGGAGGCGGCUAAACCUUCAGUGGGGCCUCAUCCCAUUCCGCCUCAGCUUCUCAGAUGACAUGGAGAGCAACCUGAACCGCACCUUCUCCCUGCUAAAGGCCAGGGGCAUGAUCCAGUCUGGCGACCUGGUGAUCGCCCUCUCUGACAUGCUGCAGUCCAUCCAGGUGAUGAACGUACCCUAAGAAAGAGCCUAAUCCUCUGUGGGAUGAUCAUAUGAGAUGGAAGAUGGACCAUGAACUUUAUCGGCACCUUGAAGGACAGUUCCUUGCACCAAAAUUAUUCGCUUUCACCCUGUAUUAGAUGCUGGGCAGGACUAGAGAACUGUGGCAAUAAUUUGCAGCUUUGUGCCCUGCUGUAAAACUGUUAUAUUACUAUUAGCUUUAUUUAUAGUCUGACCUUGGGGUGACUCUUUAAUGUGCAAGCUUUGGGUCUUGCUGUGGGCCGUAAUGGGCUUAUAAGUGAAGCGCAGGGAGAAGAGGAAGAACCCGCUGAAGAACAUGGCUGCUGUGCUCAAGCUCAACCCCUACCUCGGCACUGCCCGCAAGAUGGCUACCCUCGCUAAGGUUGCCCACAUCAAGGCAAGGAAGGAGAAGCUCGAAUCCAAGAGGACCAAGCUUAGCCCGGUAUGACCAUUUUUCUCCCUCCAUUUCAUUUCUGAUUAUGUCAAUAAUACCUGAAUUGAUCACUUAGAUUGCUCAUGUAGUUCUGGUGUACUGUUUAUGACUUGUAGUGUUUGCUAUGGUACAUUUUCUGCCCCUUGUAUGAAUGGUUUAAUUUGUUUGAUGUAUCAUAAUUUGAGCAAAUUUCAUUGCUUGAAAGUAUUAGUACUGGAGUUCUGUGUGAAUAACAUGAUUCUGCUGUAGUGAUUCUUGUUGGGGUUUAGUUAUGUGCAUUGAUCUAAUGUUGUGCCAACAAAUAUUCUUGUAAUUGCGCGUUUGUGCUGUAUCAGUAUGCAUGGGUAAUCUAGUUUGUCAUUGUUUACUAUUUGCUCAGGGUGUUUCGGUACCCUUAAUUGCUUUUAGUAAGGCAUUUGUCUAUGUUCUGUUCCAUUUCUUUAUAUGCUAGUAGAUAUCUGAGCAAUUGUUUGUUCUACUCUUUUCUUAGAAAUGAUUUAUGGUACUGGAAGCUUCGGUAAUCUUUGCAUAUAUGGCAUAUGACAUGCCCUGGUAACUCAUGGGUCAGGGUUUAUCUUGAAUGUUUUAGUUCGAUCCCUCUUGUUGAUUUGUGUUCUGAAUUGGUAACUUGGGACUAUGCCUUGUUAGAAUGUGAUGAAUAGAUUGAUGUUUUACUAAGCGUUUUGAUUACAGAAUACUAGAAUGAAUGUUAUUACAUUAUCCAUGUUUCGAACUGAAUCCCAAAAUUUACUGAAUCCCUUCACAUCCAUAUAUCUCCUGAAUAUUUGUUUAACUGUAUAGUUUGAUAUGUUUACAUUGUUGUCAAGAUUCUUUGUUGCAUGCCCAUAUAUCUUCUGAACACUACAGAACUGACCAAUAUGUGAACUACUGUUGGUUUAAUGUAUCAGAUGCUGAUUAUUUCGUUCAGCUGUAUGCCCUUUUGUCAACAAACACGUACUGAACAAUAUCUGUAGAUCCAUUGUUGUAGGAGGAGGCUGCCAAGGUCAAGGCUGCUGGAAAGGCAUGGCACAGGACCAUGAUCUCAGACAGCGACUACACCUGAGUUUGAGAACUUCUCAAAGUGGCUCGGCGUGACUCAGUGAGCGGGUGCUAUCUAGUUAAGUUUUGAGUAGUAGUGUGGCUGAACUUAUCUCGAGAGGGUUUAUCGCUUUGUUUUAUCCUGCAUCAUCAUAAGAAUUCAAUCUGUGGGAUUUUAAGACAAGUCUUCCUUUUUGUUAAUGCGUUGCUGUGAAAUCAUUCUAGUAAAUAUUCACCUUGACGAUCUUUUGGAAGGACAGCGACCACAAAAAUUAUGAAUUGGGUAGAUGGAGGAUUUAUGUGCUGUAUUGAGAGAGCCCGUAGGUGCUAGAUUUCUCCGGAAACGUUCGAUUUAAGCUUGUAGAUAUUGUGAUGAAUCCCGUCACCAUUUUCCCAUGAAACAUUCUGAAAGUUCUGGUAGUGGUAUCCACUGCUGCAGUUUUACAAGCAUGUAGGGUUGUUCCUCUGUUUGUUGAUUAGGUAUUAUGUUUUGCACAGUCUUAAAGUUUAGAAGGUAAUUACCCAGGUGUUCAAGUAUACCUUCAAGUUUUUUUUUACACAGUGUACAUAUUACCUUGUUAUAGUGAGAACAGAGAAGUCCACCGCAAAAGUAAAGCCUAGCAUAUAUUGUUCUUGCAAUAGACCAUGUGUGUAUAUGCCCCUUUGUAGGUUGAUUAUUCCAUUCAGAACAUAGCAUGGACCUCUAUAGUGUUUUGGAUAAAUUUUUUUAUUAUAAAGGUACUUGCCGAGGCACCAAUUUGGGAGUCUGCGGGGUAAAAUGUUCCCGGCGUACUUCAUAUUGAUAUCAGUGUGUUCAGCGAUAUCUGUUGCAGCAUUUGCAUACCUGCAUGGAUUCCUUCUUUCGGCCCUUAUCUGUAACCUUUCAAACCUUCUGGUCAUCACACCUAUGAUGGUUGAAGUAAAAUACUUUGUUUGUGGCCUUGAGCUUUUUACUACCUCUCGUUUUGCAUUUGCCAGAUGCUAGUGUGCUAGUUAUACAGAAUAUCACAAAAUUAUAGUUUGAGUAUGUGAUAAUAUCGUUACUAAUGAAUGGAAUCUUACACUUUUUAUAUGCAAUUUUGAGAUUUACUUUGCUGAUGGUAGUAGAGGUAUGUAAAGCAAAAGAAAGUUACUUUUAAAUUAUUAGUUAUAUGGUUAUAUUUUAUAGGUCAGCGAUUUCUGAGUACUAGUCAUAGCAGCGCUCACAGGAAUAUACUGACUUGUUCUUUAUUUUAUUUUCAAGAAUUAAUACAGAUAGCAUAAAGCAGAAUCCAGUCCAUGAAUAGUUAGCGAUCUAGCAUCUGGAGGUGAAAAUCUAGCUUGGUUAGAACUUAGAAGCAUAGUUGUGGAUAAAAUUUGUGGGAAUCUAAUUUGACAAAACAAGUAGACAUGUCUGGCUGCAUAUAUGAACCUUUCAAACUGCAUCUUAUUGUUUCUGAGAUCUGAUUGGUGAUUUUUCCACAUUUGCAUUGUAGCACACAUCACUUGGAUAUUGUUUUAGAGAGCAAACUUGACAAUCGAGAUAUCUUGAUUGCUGAAAUCGAUGCUGACAAUGUUCUGUUAUUUGAGUAGGAUAGGGGUUAUACAUAAAAAAAAUAAGAAGAGAGAAUGUGCCUUGCAGGCUUGUACUUUGGUUGGUUGAGCAUUGCUCUUUGUAGUUUGCGCUUUCAUUUUCACCCGUGCCUAUUGAAUUGCUCUCUUUCACCUAGAUGAUGAUGAAGAGGUACAAGAUAGAAGGACCUCGUGAGGCCGGGUACUCCAAGAAUGAGGAGAUGGCCAAGAGGAACCCUGCCCUGGCGGCAAUCAGUCAGAAGUUCAGGAUGAUCCACGUGCUGUCGUCACUGGCCAGCCCCAUGUCCUUCGGCAGCCUGGCCAUCCACUCCUGAUACCUCCCCAGCAAGCUCGACCCGUGACUGCCUGACCGAGUGUUAGCUGGUGCCUGGUGAGUGGUGACCUACGAACUCUGAACUUAGCCUAGGUUUCUGUGGAGAAAAAAGAAGUCAUGUCUGUGCAAGAACAUUGGUCCUCGGGAUGAUAUGAUUAGCCUUUAAUAAUGUACAUAAUGCAGGAACUUCGUUUCAUUUUGUAAUUUGUCUAUAGGAAAUGUGUCUGGCAAAUUCCUAGAUUUUACAGCCAAGAAAUGCAGCUAAACAUGGUCUCUCGGCUCAUGGAGCUUGGGUAUAAAGAAAUGACUAGGAUCUUCUGCAACUUUUAGAAUGCCUACUAUCUGAAAAAAAAAAUUGGCCAGAGAUGACGAGUUUGGUAUGCAUUCCUGAACACUGGUUUCUCUUGUCUGGUGGUCCAAAACCAUAUGGCGUUCCUUCAUCUAGGCCAAAUCUAUUAUAUUCACUUUCUGAAGAUAAUAUCCAGUGAAGCCAAGCCGAAGUCUAGAAAACAAGUCCACAUUGCAAACUGAAGAAUUUAGCAUAUGGAACUCCAUGCUCUAGUCUUUCAUCCUUCUUCAAGCUGAAGUCCUUGAUUUUGAUCACAAAACAAGUCCCAGACUGCAAGUUGAAGAAUAUAUAGCAUAUUGAUCGAGCUCCAUGCUCCAGCUUUUUAUCCUUAUAUUUUCUUUUGAACUAUGGCGUGUUUGAACUCAGUGUCCGCUCCAGCGUAAGCAAAACACAUACACAGCUAGCACUUUCAUUUCAUGACGUGUUUGUCUACAUUACUGCAGAAGUACUUGCCAUAGAAUAGGUCAACAAUCCAACAUACUACUACUCAUGUUGUUGUUCGACAAGCUGUCUAAGCUGCUGCUUGAAUACGAACUGAAAGUGCUGAACUUUGUCCAUGUUAUGUUGGUAGUAUAUCUAAUACUGAACGGUGUGCAGGGUGAUCCUGCAAGGCUUUUAGAUAGCACGGUCUUGUGCAGAGGUAUUGUCGAGCUCUGUUUCUUCAAAGUUACGUCUGCUCUGUUUCUUCAAAGUUACGUCUUGCAAUUGCAGUAACAUUUCUGCUGGUAAUUCUGUAAUCUCUACUAUAAAAAAAGCAAAGAGGACACAAAAAUGCGGUCCGUCGUUUGGCCGCCGGGCGAUGUCCCUCGCUCCAUUUUGGGCCGUCCGCUUGCAGCAGCCUCCGCGUGCAGCCGUUGACCUGGAGAUUCCGUGAGUUGCGGCCCACACGUUUCCUCCUCUGUCCGUUUCCCUCCUCGCGGAUCCCUUCCUCCUGCAGUCCUGCCCAUGCGUCGCCAUCCGCCGUCGACGCAACUCCCUCAGUCGCGUCGCCUGCCGCCGCCACUCCCUCCGUCGCCGCAACUUCUCCCUCCCUGCAUCGUUAGGCCUGCGUCGCCAUCCGCCGCCGCCCCUCCCUUUCCUCACCUCCGCGCCGCCAGAAACCCCCGCCCCUGCCUGCGUCGCCAUCUGCCACCGCCCCUCCCUUUCCUCGCCUCCGCGCCGCCAGAAGCCACCGCCCCUCCCUUUCCUCGCCUCCGCGCCGCUAGAAGUCACCGCCCCAUCCUGAGUCGCCUCAUCGCCGCAAGCGACUCCGCCCCUCCCUGAGUCGACGGAACACCGACAGUCGAGGCUACGCUGCACGCCAACUAGAUUUCUCAGUUCGUUGGGUUUGAUCACGGUACCUCUCAGUUUCUUAGUUUGUCAUGCAUCUGAACUUUGUGUGACGUUCAUGUUCUUGUCAUUUGAUUUGUUUGGUCGGUGUUCAUGUUCUUAGAAUCUGGUGCUACGUGACAUUAUAGGCGGUGUUGUGUUUUCUGAAUUGUCGGCGACUUGAAAAUUUGAGAUUCAGAUCGUGAUUUGUUUAGGUGGACAAUUAAAAUUUGAUGAUAUGUCCUUCCCGAGAGAGAAACGUAUUACCUGUGGUAAUUGAGGAUGGUAGAGAUAAUUUACUCUGCAUGUAAACUGAGGACUGAGAUUCAAGAGUAAUCAUAGAACACGUAGACCACAUUGACUGGAAAAUUAGUCCUCUCCAAUUUUUGCUGAUCUGUCCCUGAUAGUACAUAAUUAUUUUGCCACUUUUUGUGCAAGCUUAUCGAUGUACGAAUUAAUAAUGGAAAGUAAGGAUUGCGAUAGUAGGGAUUGGGACAUUUGUUAUGCUUAUCGAUGCUUAUGGCAAUGCUUCAUAAAAGUAGUAUACACCGCCGUGCACUUCGAAUUCAUGAUGGACAGUAGGGAUUGUGAUAUGUGAUAUGCUUAAGGCAAUGCUUCAUAAAAAGAGUAUGCACCUCCGAGCACUUCAAGUGUACUCUGAUGCACACACAAGCACACAGUUCUAGAUGGUUAAGCCGGUCUGUGAUUAGCAAGAUUUUCAUGAGAAUGGUAUCAGUUAUCAGACAUUCUGUGAUAUCUUGAAUGGAAAAAUAAAAUCAAAAAGGAAAGCACGAUAAAUAGAUAAUUUUUCUUGAAUUCUCCCAUAUUCAGAAAAUUGACUGACCGAGUGUGGAUAAAUCCUUUUUUUUGUUACUUGGACCUCAGUUGGCCUUUAUAUUACUCUGAAUAUGUAAGAUCUCAAUAAACAGUAAAUUUGAGGAGGAUUUGCUAUCAUCUUUUGAAUCGUUCAUCCCGGUGGCAGAUUUCUUGAUUGCCUUAAUUGGGGCUGCCCCAGUUAAUGAGAACUAAAUAGCUCUCAUGAUGAAAACAAGUGUUAUUCAUAACAGCUACUUGUAGUGAUGGUGUCUGGCAGAGUACCUUGCUUAUCCAGUGCUUUCCUGUGACAUUCCAUUUUGCUUUUCUCUUGAAGGGUGUUUAUGUUCGUCGGGUUGUGCCUACUGCUCCAGCAAGCAGUGUUUUGUGAAAGGUAACAUGUAGUAAUUAGAUCCAGUUCACAUAUUGAAUACCUUUGGUUGUCCUCCAAUUUUUGCUGAUCUAUCCCACAUAAUUUUUCUUCUUUUUUCCACACAAUUUUUCUUCUUCUUGCCACAUAAUUUUUGCGGCUACCAUGUUUGACAAUAAAAAUUGGUAUACAGUCAUCUACAAAAAUCAUCCCCUGGAUACAAAUAGUACAUCCCCCUGGUACAAAUAGUACAUCCCCCUGGUUAGCAAUUUUGCAGAUGUAGAAGUACAGUUCCAUUACCGGUUAACCACUAUCUACGUUCUUAUUUUCACUAGGAGUUACAUUAAAAUAAUUCAUUCAUAUGUUCUGUAUAAAGGAAUAGACAAAAAUGGCACCACUUUGUUUUACCUAUGUACAAAUAACUGUCUGAUUGGAUAUUACAACAACAAACAAGAAGAGGCGCUUCAUGAUCAUUUGAUUUAGAACUACAACCUAAAAAAUAAAUGGUCUGUCCAGUUAUUAAUAUUCUGGUUUCAUACUGCAACAUAGAAAAGUGAUUAAAACAAGCCCAAGUAAUCUGUCCUGCUGCACUUUCUUAUCUAUAAUCCUGAUGCCAAUUUGUUUCAUGUGCCUGGAAGUGAUGGGAGAAGGUGCAGGAGAAGGAUUUAGAAGUUCUUAAUUUGCAGGUGCAAUUUUUUUAUGUGACGCAUCUAUGUGACGCUUGACUUAUCUUAUUUCCAAAAUCAAACACUUCAUACUCGUGCUAAUGAUUAGAACCUGAUGAUUGGGAAGCUGAUGAGGAUGUCGAUCUCGAGACGGCUAAUGAAGAUUCCAACGAACCCGAUGUACCGGAUCCAAACGAUGCGGUUUAUGCUAAUGUCCCUGACGAGACGCACAUGCUCAAGCUAGAGGAUAACUGCAAGCACUGCAAUGCAAAGAAGUUUGAGUCCGAGCCACCUGAAUUCUGUUGUCAUAGACACCACCGGAACUCGUGAGACUGUGGUUGAGCUCGGACGCUGAUGCUAGGCAUUUCCGUGCAAACAUCAGAUAUUUCAAUGAACACUUCUCUUUCACUUCUCUAUACUGUAAACUUGAUCGUGUGACCACCGACAUGACAAACUGUGGAAUUUACACAUUUCAUGCCCAUGACCAAAUCUACCAUAACAUAUGAUCAUUUGGUAAAGAGGAUGGUCACGAACCUGGACACCUCGAGCUUUAUUUUUACGACGACGAUCUGUCUCUUCAGCAUAGGCUCCGCAAGUGCCGUGAGAAGUCUGCCCAAGAAGAUAGGAGGUCAUCUAGAGGCUAAAGGACAUCUUACAUGGCAUUAAUCCCUGCUUAGAGAAUCUUAGGAGUAUAGGCCAGGUUGACAACCUUGAGGAUUACUAUGUCGAGUUGAACCUUGACCAACGGCUAGACCAGAGAACAUAUAAUGUGCCAUUAACGUCGUUGCUGCCGUUUGGAUUGAGGGGAGCGAGCCUCGGGGCCAGUUCGAUAAUAGUGUUGUCCUCCAAGGGAAGGAUAGGUCGAUCCAUGGUAUUCGGCCCUAUCGUGUGUGCUACGAUGCUCUCUCAUACCCGCUAUUCUUUCCAAGAGGUGAGCUCGGGUGGCACAAUUGCAUUCCAAAAGUUGGUGUGACUGAGGUUGAAGUAAAUAAAGCUCGAGCGAUCCGCAAGGCGCGUGCUGAUGGUGGUGGCGACAAUGAUGCUGGUAAAUUCAUAUGUCUUUAUAGUGUCUUACAAACAUUAGACAAAUUUUCCGCAUGUCGUCAAUCACGGCCGCCUUUUUUUGGUUCGUCGUUUGGCUUCGUUUGUCUGCCUCGCCGCUCAGUUUUUCUCAAGAACAGUCCGUCUCCCCGCCCACGUUCGCCGACAGACGCACCUCACCUCCUCCGUGCUGCACCCGGCCGCACCUCCUCCAUCCGCCCUCCGCCACUUAGCCAAGCCGUGCCUCACCUCCUCUGUCCUCCGAGCGCGGAACCACGCCCGCGCUUUCCCCGCCCGGCCGCACCUCCUACCUGCUACGCUCGGCCGCAGCUCCUCUGUCCGCCGCCAAGACGGGCCACCUCCGUCCGCUGGGCGUCCAACACCGGCGCGCCACUGCCCAGCUGCCCCUCCACACCCCUCCACACCGGCGCCAUCCCCGGCUGCUCCUCCAUGAAGGGAUCUCCAAAUUAGUCCCAUAUGCAGCGGAGGUGAGAAGAUGGAGGCACGAGAGGUGGGGCCUAUCUCGAGCCCGGUGUCAUCUGCCUUCAUGAAGGGAUCUCCAGGUUAGUCCCUUAUGCAUGCAAACAAAUCUAAUCAGCAGCCUCUCCUUUGCACCAACGAACAGAUCCAAUUGUUCUUGAAAAUCAGGUCCAAGUUCACAUCUCUUUUGCCCUCCCACUCAAAGCACAAUCAGCCAGCGCGACAGGGAUGGCGACACAGACACCGACGGCUGGAGCUCCCUCAAUGCUGCCAGGUAAUUGACUAGCCAAUUACUAUUUGGAUGUGAUGCACAUUGGUCACGGAUUUGUAAAUCUAUCAGUUCCUGCUUCCUGCAUCCAUUUGUGCAGUUCUUGUGGUGGAUGCAGUGCACUGAGUAUAGAAAUUAUUUUUGAUUACUUCUGUGAAACGUUUUGGCCUUGGCAAGUAUGUACAGAUUUAGUUGUUGUUUUUUCAGUCAGAGGUGAGCUACGUGUAUGGGAAAGAAAAACUUGAUUGCUUGUUCUAGAUCUUGCCUUCAUAUAAACUGUGAUGCUAUCAACAUGGAGAUUUGAUGCAUUCUACUCUCUCUCUAUUUAACAUGGAAAAGAACUCGUGUUUACUCAAUAAUGCUUAUGAAUUUUCCUUAGAGUUGCAUUUAUUCAUCAUUCUAAAGUAUUCCGUGUCAAGUAAACUCAUACUUCUAAUUUUUCAAAAAAAAAAUCUGAAAUCAAUGAACCCCUCCUUCCUUGUGAAAUUGUUGUACCUUUUUUCUUAUGACAUCUUAUCUACUUCCACUUUCCUGGUGCAGAAUUUUUGAAAGUAGGAAACGUAAGCAAUGACAGUGACAGUCGCAGCAAUACUGAGCUCAAUAGGUGAACUAGACAAACCAUUCUGCUGUAGUUCAUUUUAUCACUGCAGUCAUCGUCAGACAAUGAGGUCAGAACCAGCAGGUUCGCAGAGUGACUUGUGACUUGUGGAUAAUCCUGCAGAUUCAACAAUGGUAAAGUAACGAAUGGUUAAGGUAUAAGUAGAUUUACUCAAUUAUACUCCAAUAGCUAAUGCAUUGCAUAUAUUGCUUGGCCGUGUAUAUAAAUAUUACAUCACUGUUCAACAUAAGUAAAUAGCUUAGUCCUUCUUAAGUCCAUUUUGGUAAAAGCUAUAGUUCAAUUAGUUUUCUUGAUUUUCUUAAAAUUUUACUCAAAGUUUGUGCCUUAUGUUGUACAUUUGCCUCACGGGCUGGCUAACUGACCUACAUGAGGCUGGCCAACUGAUCUGGAGGUUCACUAUCUAUGUUCUUUCAUUUCAUUGUCAAACAUAGAUAUUCUAAAUCUGAAAGUCUGUCGAAAUUUCCUAUGGAGUCUUGUGGUACCUUUAGUGUUUCUUAUCAUGUCCAGUAGAAGGUCUUGGAAAACAUAUUUGCAAUACAUGAUAUUUUUUAAAUCAAAAGUAGUAAUAUGCUGUGUAAUUGCCUUCUUGCCUCCUGACAUGUGGCAAAUUCAUUGAGCGUUUUCACUUACAUCGCUGGCAUAUUCAGUGAACAACGCAAAGAUGAUGGUUUUGAGUGAGAGGUCCUUUGGUCAAGGUAAUUUCAGAGCAUUGAUUUUCAAUGUACUUGUAAACCCAAGAGAAAGUUGAGCAGGCCACAUUCAGUUGUUAACUGGACUGUUGGCUUGCUGCUAUGGCAACAUGUUUUCAGCCUUAUUAUUACUUGCCGAGUUUACAUUGGGAUCUGAAAACUGGACUGUGUGCCAUUAGUUUUGUCUGUCUCCAGGACAUUGCCCAUGCACAUGAACUGACUGAUUACCAUGAAAAUUCACCUGUUUCAGUUCCAAACUAAUUAUUGCUUCAAGGUCACAAAGCUAUAUGAAAAUCUGUAUCCAAUUGAAUGCCGGAACUCUCUAGGAUGAUGUCAGGCAUUCCCAUUUAUAGGUUAACCUGAAGUGAUUCUUGAAGAUUAGUUUCUGCGUGGUUGAUUUGAAUUGUUUGUAAUAUUGUAUGCUUCAUCUUGAUUACUAUCAAUUUCACAGGUCAUGUUCAUUGUGAGGAAUGGAGCGCAAUAAUGCUUUGUGGUAACUCUGGGCAGACGAAAAUAGGCCACCUCUACCAUUUUCUUGAUAUUUAUUUUCUGAUAUCUGACUAUUGUAUUUGUCGUGAAAUUUAAAUUGUAGACGCUAUCAGAUCAUGUGUCACUUCAUGCUUUGAUCAUGUGAAAAAAUUCAGUGUAUUUACCCAUGAUCGGUGCCUUGCCCCGAGGGGUCUUUAAUUCCUGGAGGGGUCUUUAAUUCCUGAAUUAGGCAACGGUGAAUUUUCUUCUUAAUAUAUAGAUGCGCAGCUCUCCCGCAUGUUCGAGAAAAAUGAGGCAACAGUGACACAGCGCUGGUAGAAAGUAGAAAGUGAAGAAGCGGUUUGAGCAUAUUGCUACUGACAGCUACCUCCGCAAGAUUUGGCCGGUACUGCAAGCUCUGAGUUUCACAACUCUGAACCACUUGGUAAAAAACAGUCUGAAUUUUGUGUUGUGAUUAACUGACUAGACAUCCGAAUAAAUUAAUGUACUGAUAUUCUGAAAUUUGUUUUAGCACUGGGACUCUCUGGACUAUCCGGUGGAAUCAGGCCUUGGCAGGACUGAGGCAGAUGUGGGGGGUGACACCGUGCAGGUGAGGUGGUGGUGGUAUCUGGCUCUGGCAUCUCCCUUUAUCCGCUUGAUGGAAUGGCAGCAUGGGUAUGGAGACACCUUCAGCAUCUAAACAAAGCCCAAAAGGUACAAAGAUACUAUUUAAUCACUUUUGAUUUGUUAAUUUGCUAUCAUAUAAAUUGCAGUAACAGGUCUUGAGUAAUAUGUCAAUGCUAUAAUUUUGCUUGCUUGUUGUGUGUCCUCUCUAAAAUCUUUUCUUUACCAUAUAUAUCCAUAUGCACAAGAUAUUUGCAGUUACAAGUAUAAUCCUCAAGGAGUGAAAAGCUUGUGAUUCUGUCCGUGCAGGCAACAGGCAUUGAUCGCUAAUCAGCAUGGCCUCCACAAGUACCCAUCAUGGGAAGUGCAGCAACCAGUAUUGUGUUCAAACCUGAAGAAAAUAUAUGGGGAUGGCUGGGUGGCUGCACAGCUCAUGGCAGGGACCAAUUUGGAGUCUGCAUCUUCUUUCCCAUAUAUAUAUGAUAUUUCCAUAUACUGUCAGGAUGCUAUUAAACUGCCUUCACCAGAUUACAAUAAACUGUGAACUUCAGAACUUUAAUUUUCGAUAAGUUGGAGUCGACGCUUAAAACUUCAGAGCUUUAUUUACUCCUAUGUACCAACAGCUCUAAAUUUUUGUGCACUGCACCCUUAGUUUUUUAGUGAACAAUACUGAUUGCUGAGGUUAUAAUGCAUCUUUCUAUGUGGGACUAUAGUUUUGUCAAGUAAGGCUAUGUACACAUUGAUAAAUCUGCUUCAGAAUAAUAUUGCUAAUAUCUCACUAUCUGAAGAAAGUCAGGUUUAUCAGUUAUUUAUAGAAGACUUGCUUGUUAGAAAGGACCUAAAUAGGUUUUCUUUGUCUAUGUGAAUUUUCGGGGAAUUCUGCUUAUCUUCCACGGAUAGAUGCUACUUCUCCUGUAAUAUUGAAUUGGGUCAUGUGUGUGUCAGCUCUUUGCUUGCCAAAGGAGCUUGUGACUUGCAACUACUACUACUUAUUCAAUGAUCUCUAAUAAUUGAAUCAUUUUGUUCAGAUUCUAAUUAUCAGGUCUUUUCCUCAUCUCUUUAUGUUUUGAGGUGUUGGAUGAGAAAGGGUUAAUGGUGGUUGCUACCAUUCUACAAGAAAUUAGAGAUUGUCAUUAUGAGUGCUGUAGUUGAAGUGGGGUUAAUGUUAAACCAUGAUGGUACCAAGGAGACUUCAUCCAUUUGAAUAUUCUACACUCAAGAAACAGAAAGGUGACAGUUGUCAAAUACAUAUUAUGAACUAGCUGAAAUUAAAAUAUUCUUGUAUUCCUUAGAUUAUUUGUGUCAUGCAAACUCCACUUUAGAAAAUUCCAUUCUAAAUUGCUGUGUGAGAUUAUGUACCAUUCUAAUAUGAUCUCAUGGGGGAAUUAUUUAGCCCAUAGCAACGCACGGGCACGAUCCUAGUGGAAUUGAAAAGAAUAGAGAUCGCGUAUGACAAGAGUACUCUAGGUAAUAUUUCUUCAAAUACCGAUUCAGCUCCCUCAUUUUCACUUCAAUAUUUUCACCAAUGGUAUAGAAAUAGAACUUGAUGAAUUCCACGUCUCAUCGAGCAAAACAUCUCGAAUUGCUAGCAACAUCUUCAAGAAAAGGUGGGCUGUAGGAUGCCUGUUUGCGGAGAAUGCUUUGGUUGCCUCACUUAAAGCAUCACGAAUGUCCUUUACUGCUUUGUUAUUCACACUAGCAUUGUCUAAUGUCAAGGUAAACAGCUGUUCAAUCAACUCCCACUUCAUCAACCACAACUUCUUGUCCUAGAUCCAUAUCACCUAGAUGACACAACUUCUUAGCCUUCGGCCUAGUAUCUUCCAAGUGAACAAAAGAGCCUGGAAUGUGAAUAAGAUCAACAAAUUUGAAUAAAAUACCAACUUGUUUUGGUUUUACUGACUGCUUGUAUUUUUAGUACUACAAUGAGUAGGUUUGAAGAAAAUAUGAUUCUGUAUAUGAUGCAGUUGUUUUGGCUCACAGCUAACUGUAUUUUGUUCCCAUGAUAAAAAAAUUCUGAUCAGAAAUCUUGUUUUUUCACUUCAGAUUAGAAGUAAUGUAAGAUGUCAGAUUAAUGGACGAUGAGGAGCAUAAGUUUUAGGCUUCGAGGACACAGUGCCCCUCCAAUUGCAUACUGAUACUGCUAAAACGAAAGGGGACUGAGGUGACUGGGAUAUCAUCAGUAUCAGAUAUACUAGCAGCUAUGUUCAUGAGCUUCUAUGUGGUGAAACAAGCUGGAGAUGACUAAGGUAUAGGAGCUUUUUUUCACAGAACAGUAGGACCAUUUUCACGAGAUUCAACUGCCUGAUCUUAACUGAAUGGUAAACAUAAGCAAUACCAGUAUGCAACCAACAAAAGAUCUUGCACUCCCAUCUUACAUUCUCUAAAACAGUAACAAUUCUAAGUUCACAGAUCUAGUGGUACUAAAAAGCUCAAUGAACGAAUUUAAUUUGCCAAUGCCAUCCUCCUGCUCUACAAAACCCAAAAACUCAAGCAGAUUGAAGCUGCAAAGGAGAGUUUAAAAAUAGCCAACACUAGCAGAAUACUGCACGAACUAGGCACAGCGCAGUAUAAACAAAAAGACAAAUAGGAAAGGCAAACACAUCAGAUGAAAAUCACCUGCACGCCGACGCCACCUGCGUCCGCUGCUGAGGCCGCCUGCUCUUGCUGGCCGCCGCGCGUCGGCCUAGCCGCACGCCCUGCCGGAGCCCGCCGGGGGCCGGCCCCACGGGAGCGCCUCGCACCCCCGCACCGCCCGGAUCUUGAGUUCUUGCGCCGCCGCCGCCGCCGCACGAGCCUGGAGAGGCCGCGAAAAAGAGGAGAGCCCCUUUCCUGCGAUCCACGGGCUCAGCCCUUCCAAUUGACUCAAGGAUCGAUUAUGGGCCACGUUCACAGGUCAGCCCUUUUAUGGAGAUGGCCCGAUCUGAUCCUGCCCAUUCUUCGGGAAGGCCUUUUAAGGCUCGGCCUAUAUGAGCUUGUAAGGCCCGAUCGGUUUGGCCCUUGGAUUUUCCAGGCUUAAGUAUAGGUAUAAGGUUUUCUACGUAUCUAAAAUAUUUUCCACUAGAAAAGGUUUUCUACGUAUGUAAAAUAUUUCCACUUGACUACCCGAUAAGGCAAUCAUUCGUGUGGCACAUGCCCGGGGCCUACUCGGAAAGUGAGUGCGCAUCCUCUCACAUGAUUGGACACAUCCACUUGACUCCUCAAAGGUCGUCAAUGCUUGCAGCUUGCAUUUUCCACAGAAGCAGCAGCUCUUGAACCCACUGUCCAGCAUCUCCCUCUCCACCCACCAACACUGUGUUUCCCUGUCUACUGCGCGUGUGUUUUGGAGCUCCCGGCGUAGCCAUGGCUGAGGUACUGGCCACCAUGGUGGUCGGGCCACUGGUGUCCAUGGUGAAGGAGAAGGCCUCCAGCUACCUCCUGGACCAGUACCAGGUGAUGGAGGGCAUGGAGGAGCAGCACAAGCUCCUGAAGCGCAAGCUGCCGGCCAUCCUCGAUGUCAUCGCCGAUGCCGAGCAGCAGGCGGCGAAACACAGAGAAGGGGCCAAAGCUUGGCUGGAGGAGGUCCGGACGGUGGCCUACAAGGCGAAUGAUGUCCUCGACGAGUUCAAGUACGAGGCGCUUCGCCGCAAAGCCAAGGUGGAGGGCCACUACAAGGCGCUCGGCAUGGAUGUAAUAAAGCUCUUCCCUUCUCACAACCGUGUUGUGUUCCGUUAUAAGAUGGCAAAAAGGCUCUGCAUGAUCUUGCAAGAAAUUGAUGUCCUCAUCGCAGAGAUGAAUGCGUUCAGGUUCAAAUUCAAACCGCAGCCGCAAAUGCCCAUGCAAUGGAGGCAGACGGAUGCUUGCAUCCCCACUGAGUCUGUGGAGAUUGCCAGCAAAUCAAGAGCUCAAGAGACGAAGGUUCUUGUUGAUCGAUUGCUUGCUGGAGCCAGCAGUAAGGAUCUCAUGGUCCUUCCGAUAGUCGGAAUGGGGGGGUUGGGCAAGACCACCUUAGCACAGCUCGUUUACAAUGACCCUGAAAUUCAGAAGCAUUUCGAGUUGCGGCUCUGGGUGUGUGUCUCUGAGGAUUUUGAUGUGGAUUCCCUGGCUAACAGAAUAGUGAAAGAGAAUGGUUGUAAAGCAAGUGAAAGUUCAUCAGCACUGGACAAUCUUCAAAAGGCAGUGAGUGGGAAGAGGUACCUCCUCGUAUUGGAUGAUGUGUGGAACCGUGAUGAGCCCAGCAAGUGGGAAAGGCUCAAGUCCUACCUUCAGCAUGGUGGCAGCGGUAGCUCAGUGCUGACAACAACUCGCGAUGAAGCUGUUGCUAAACUAAUGAUGGGUACAACUGAAAGAGCCUAUAAACUUGGAAGCUUGGAUGAAGAGUCCAUAGGGAAAAUUAUCAAGGCAAGAGCAUUCGGUUCAAAACAAGAAAAGGAAUGGCCUGGUGAGCUAGUUCACAUGGUUGGUGAAGUUGCCAAGAGAUGUGCUGGUUCUCCUUUAGCUGCUACAGCAUUGGGCUCUUUACUGAGUACCAAGACCAGCAAGCAAGAAUGGAAGGAUGUACUAAAUGGAAGCACGAUUUGUGAUGAGGAAAAUGGGAUUUUACCAGUACUUAAACUAAGUUACAAUUGCUUGCCAUCAUACAUGCGGCAAUGCUUUGCUUUCUGUGCUAUGUUUCCCAAGGAUUAUGAGAUUGACGUGCAAAUGCUAAUCCACUUGUGGAUGACCAAUGGUUUUAUCCCAGAGCAAUCAAAAGUGUGUCCUGAAACUUUUGGAAAAGGAAUUUUCAUUGAGCUGAAGUCAAGGUCAUUUUUUCAGGAUUUGAAGAAUGUCCCAUUUUACGAAAAUGGAUAUUCUAUUCAUGGAGAGGGUGAUGAGCACAGGUAUUGUUCUAGAAUUACUUGUAAGAUCCAUGACCUUAUGCAUGAUGUUGCACAGUCUGCUAUGGGAGAAGAAUGUGCUGCAAUAGCUACACACCCAAGUGAAAGAGAGGAUGUUCUUCGUUCAGCUCGUCACUUGUAUUUGUCAAUCCGUCGAUCAGAAACUCUUCUGAGUGCUUCCCAAGAGAAAGGAUCUCCAGCUUUCCAAACACUGAUUUGUGACGGAUAUGUAGGAGAUUUGAAGAUUUUAUCAAAAUACAAUUCUAUAAGAGCUUUAAAGAUCCGUUGUGGUUCAAUCCUAAGGCCGAAAUAUCUUCAUCACCUGAGGUAUCUUGAUCUCUCGAGAAGUGAUAUUGAAGCACUUCCUGAAGACAUUAGCAUCCUAUAUCAUCUGCAAACACUGAACCUUUCUUACUGUGACUGGCUUGAACGGCUUCCAAAGCAACUGAAGUAUUUGACUGGCCUCCGUCACCUCUACACUCACGGAUGUGAAAAGUUGAAAAGCAUGCCUGCAGAGCUCGGACGCCUGACUUCCCUACAGGCGCUUACAUACUUUGUAGCAGGUACCGAUGACUCCGGUUGCAGUAAUUUGGGAGAGCUGCAGAAUUUGGACCUUGGUGGUACACUGGAGCUAGGAAAUCUAAAAAAUGUGACAGGAGCAGAUGCACAAGCAGCAGGUCUUGGAAACAAGAAAAAACUGACCCAACUGGAGUUAUGUUGGACUGAUAGUGACCAGGAAGCACAGAAUAAUAAUCAUAAAGAGGUGGUGGAAGGUCUCAAACCUCAUGAUGGGUUAAAGGCUCUGAGGAUAAAUCACU
RNAcentral lists this long non-coding RNA (67855 nucleotides) under Setaria italica (foxtail millet). RNAcentral describes it as "long non-coding RNA (SITA_LNC000925)". The record is from RNAcentral. Lineage: Eukaryota; Viridiplantae; Streptophyta; Magnoliopsida; Poales; Poaceae.